This 68328-nucleotide long non-coding RNA is filed under the name Citrus sinensis (sweet orange). RNAcentral's name for it is "long non-coding RNA (CSIN_LNC000136)". The record is from RNAcentral. Lineage: Eukaryota; Viridiplantae; Streptophyta; Magnoliopsida; Sapindales; Rutaceae.
AAAAAAAAAAAAAAAAGAGAAUUCCCAUGUUGCAUUCUUUGAAAAUUGUUAAUGACACAUUGAGCAUUUCCACUUUGUCACUCUUUUAAAGUUUAGCAGAGUUUCAAGUAAUUCCAGCAAUCUCUGUCAUCAAAUCCUCGUGCUGCACCGCCAAAUAUUGAAGGAACCCUCGCUGUCCGAAGAUUCUCCCUACUGAAUGCCUCAGUCAAAUCUUUAGCUGGCAUCUGUCUAUUGCCACACAUACGCACCCUCUUCGCAGGAGCUACAAGUUUCUGGUUGUAGUCAUUUGAAAACUUAGUUAUCACCCAUUUAUUUAAGUUUUCAAUUGUAAGAACUCGCAUAUAUGCCUUGCAACCGCUUACACCUGUGCUGCAAUUUCGAGAUAGUUUUGUCAACUCCAUCUAAUAUUCUAUCUUUCUUUCUUUUUUUCAUCUCACGUGAGCAUACUAAUUACAUGCUAGUAACUUCAUCAACAUGAGAACAAGUUUUAUUCGUUGAUCGAAUUCGUAUAGAGAAACCAAUGCUUCGACCAUGAUUUUUGUAACACAGACAAAUCAAAAGCCAUCCCCAUAUGCAACAAAUUAAUACCUUCACUGUUUUUAUCUGGAUUUGAAGUUUCAGCCUAUGAUAAAACUUCUAAUACUCAUUUCUAUAAGAAAAUUAAUUUUUGCUUGUCAAUAAAAUGAAGAAGACAGUAAAUUAAGAAAAUUAUUUCUUGCUUAUCAAUAAAGUGAAGAAGACAAUAAAUUAAAGUAGAAACAAUAAAAAAGAUACUAAUUUACUAUUUUACUUGCUCAAGUUUUUUUGUUUAUUUUGUAUUUUCUUCAUCCCGCAAAUAAUUUAACUUUCUUAAGAUUUGCAGUAGUUAGUAUUCUUUAUAAUCUCGAUGCAGAAAGAAACGUUUUUGAUAGUAUAAUCUCCUUGAGGAAGGAAGUAUAUCAAGAGUUAGGGUUCUCUCUCUUUCCAUUUUUUUUUUAAAUUUUAAUAUGUCACCUGUUAUAAAAUCUAUUAAUUAAGAGCACAACCAUAUAGUAAGAGAAAGAAAGAAAGCAAAUAAGAGACAUAAUGUGUGUAGAGAGAAAUUUUAUUCAAUCUCUUGUGUGUUAUCCACACUUCUAAGUGUAUACAAAUAAGGAGCAAAAGUCUCCUUUUAUAGUGAUACAACCAUAAAGUAGUAAGUAAUACAUCAUAAUUAUGAGAGACAACAAUCCUUAAAUUAAGGAGAUAAUGGGAGUUAUAAGAGAUGAAAAGUUACUUGUGAGGAAAAAAAAGGUUAUUUUGAUGAACAUCCACAUAAAUUAUAAUUAUUUCAUAACACUCCCCCUUAGAUGUUUUAAUACAUCAUAAUUGUAAGAGACAACAAUCCUUAAAUUAAGAAGAUAAUGGGAGUUAUAAGAGAUGAAAAGUUACUUGUGAGGAAAAAAAAGGUUAUUUUGAUGAACAUCCACAUAAAUUAUAAUUAUUUCAUAACACUCCCCCUUAGAUGUUUAUCUUACAAAGAAUAUGCCUCAUUAAAACCUUUGCUAGUAAAAACCCUAUGGGAAAAAAAAAACAAGCGAAGGAAAAAGAGUACAUUAUUCAUUUGUAUUUUAUGGAGGUGCAAACUGCCUCAUUAAAACCUUACUGGGAAAAACCCAAUGGGACAAAAGCCCAAUGAAGGAAAAAGAGUACAGUGCAUGUAGUCCUCCGUAUAAAUAUGCUCCCCCUCAAAUGACAUGGAUGCUUCAAAGAUCAAUCAUAAUUUGUUGUAAUUUACAAUAUUUUGGUGAAAUAAUCUGCAAGAUCAACACCAUCCUUUUGAAGCUUGAAAAGAUGUAAUAAAUUAUAGAUACAAUCAUCUUGAAUUUGAAGAAUAUUGCCAUGCAUAUAUCUUUAUAAUCUUGUUGAUCUUCUUAAAUAAAACUAAGGUUUUGCAUCCAUAUCAUGGAAAGAGUGUGAUAUACUUUUCACACUAUUUUGAAAUUUUCAAGUAUAUGCUGAGCAUAAUUUAAUUUACAAUUAUGGAACUUUCUAAUGUCUUUAUAAGCACAAUUUUGAGUAAGUAUGGUUUUCGGGACCAAGACAUAUACAACAUAUUUUAAAGUAGAAUAAUUUUGAAUAUGAAAUACUUCUAGUAUUUCUAUAUAUCAGCAUUCUACUUCAUAAACUUCAAUUCAUAAUUUGAGAGAAUUCUUUUAUUGCAAGAUCUUUAAUCUUGAAUUGUAUUCUUAAAAGAAAUAAGUUCAUAACCUCUUCAAGAGUCUUUUCAUGAUGAAAUCAUCAACACAUUGUGCAAAGAUUGCAAAUUUAAUUUUCAAUCACAUAGCAAAGUGGAUAAUGACAUAUCCCACUUAUAAUAAAUUCACUCAAGUGAUUGUACUUUCGUAAGUUUAUAUUGCUCUAAUAUACACAACUAUAAUUAUAACUUUAUCAAGAACAUAUAAAGUGCAAGCUUUUUCAUUUGGUACUUUUAGUUAUCCUUCAGGGAUAAGUGCAUAGAUUCUUCAAUUUGAUUUUUGACGCACUAUAGUUCAUAUUCAUAUUUUAUCAAUAAAGUUUACGACUUCAGGCGUAUGGACUGCAAGUCCAAAAUUCUUUAUGUCUUGCUAAUUAAUUAUACAUCUUCUGGCAUAUAGACUACAGGUCCAAAUUUUCACCAAUCAUAUAAAUUGACAUUCUUUCGUUAUUUUGUGAUUUAGGAUCUUGGAUAUUUUAUUAUGAUAACUAAACUUUUACUAACAAUAAUUUUAUGUCAAUUUCAAAUUUUCUCUUGUACCAAGUACCAACAUAAUAUUGAUCAAAUACCUUUUAUUUUGCAAUAUGUAUGCUUGAUGAGAUCUUUCAAAACUUUUAAUAUAUAUGCCUCUGUAAGAGCUAAAGAUCUCUCUUUCUUAAUUUUCACGUGUGUCUUUUAUAAGGCAAUAUGAAUCUCUCUUUAUUUCUCAUAAUUUACCUCUUCAAGGGUAUUUGAGACUCAUCUUCUAGUUGGUACAUUAUGCUCCUCUAAGGGCAAUAUGUUCAAUAAUUUAAUAUAGAUAAAAUAUUUUGCCAUCCAUGCAAACAUGGUUCUUCAGCUGCACCGAAUUAUUUAACUUCAACUUCCUAAGAAUUAAACAUUUGCACUUAUUGAUCUACUAUAUGCUUAAGGUAUUCACAAAUUUAUUUGUCUCACCAUUUUGUCCUUCAAGGACAUCAUAUCAACCAACAAUUAUAUUUUGUUUGUGAUUUUUCACUUUCACAUGUCAAUGAAUUCAUUCAAUAAUUGAUCAAUAAUGCGCAUUGCACAAUAAUCUUGUUGAGCUUCAGGUUCAAAUAAAUUAACGCAUGUAAAGAUCAAAAUGGGAUAAAGGUGAAACAAAUUAGAUUGUCUAUCAAGUGUAUAUCACUUUACUCCCCCUAAUCAUAGAAGAAUUUUCACGAAAAUUAUUAAGCUUGCAUAGAGACUUUACUAAGUCAAAUUAUUGAAGAUUUUGGAUUGAACUUCUAGUCCAUCUCCAAUAUUAAUUCAAUUUUAGACCACUUCUGGUGAUACAAUAUUCACAUGUGAUUUCUUACAAUAAGACCUAUGAUCAUUAUAAUUUUGAAUAGUUAUUUGAUAAUCAUGACGUCCAUUACUACUCUCACAAGAGUAGGAAUCUAUUAAGGAUUUGAAUUAGUCAUGAUUUUCUUUUAAUCAAAAGCUAAUAUUUUAUUUUUAACAAAAGAAAACAUAGUAUUGAUUUAUAUUGGUACUCUUAAUUUGCUACUGCAGGAGCAUAUUUGUGCUAUAAAAUCAUGUGCCCUAUAAUAUGUUUCCUUUUAUAUUAUUCUCUCCAUAUAAUUUCAAAUGAGAGAAUUAAUCGAGCUUUUGAAAUUAUCAUCAAGUUUAUAUAUGAACUUUGAGCUCCUUCAAGGAGAAGAUCAUAAAAGAACAUCAUAACCUUUUACAAUCCUUCAGGGAUUGACUUCUUCCAUAAAAGAUCAAAUACGCAUAUAUAUUAUUUAUAACUCAUUCCUAUAUUUUAUUCUAUCAAACUGUUCUUAGAAAUUAUAAAAUAAGCAUGCAAAAAUCUGUCAUUAAAAGUUUAGAUGAUUGAAAAUAAAGUUACAAGCCAAUAAAGUCAAGAAAUUAUUCAUACCAGAAAUGCAUUUACUCAAACAUUUUUUAUUGUCAUAUUUUUCCUCCAAAAUAGUCUCAAAGAAACAAUUAUGUCAUGUUUAUCUCUUCAUUUUAUAACUCCUUCUAGGAGAUAUUAGGAAGGAAAUUCGUAUAUAGCCUUGCAUGACAACAUGAACUCGUAAUAUUUGUGUAGUCCUUCAGGGACAUAUAAAAUAUACACUUAUAUAGUCAAUCCUUCAUAUACAAGAUGGUGAUGAAUGACAUCAUAAUUUUGUAAUAGUUCUUCAGGAACCUAUUUUGAAAGAAAAUCUUCAUUAUAUACAAUGCAAUUUCCCAAGGAUGCAUUCUUAAUUUUUUUUCAUUGUAUAUUAUAGUAUUCACACUUCAGGAUGAACUUUUUGAAUUUCAAGAAUGGAAAAUAUAUAAUAGCAAUUGAAUAUUAGAAUAAGAAAUGUCAAACAAUAACAAUAUAAGUAAUGAUAAUAUAAAAGUAUGAAUUCAUUGAUGCAUUAUUCUAGAUUAUCAAAAUACAUAUGCGAAUGUAAAUAUCAUCUUAGGCAAAAUCAAGAUUGUUACUUCAUACUUUUAUGAGUAAGAUUAAAGAAGAGAUAUUACCAUAUUUUAAAGAGGAUGAAAAUUGAUCUCUUGUGGCUAGAGACUUGUGCUGAUAACGUGUUAUAAAAUCUAUUAAUUAAGAGCACAACCAUAUAGCAAGAGAAAGAAAGAAAGCAAAUAAGAGAUAUAAUGUGUGUAGAGAGAAAUUUUAUUCAAUCUCUUGUGUGUUAUCCACACUUCCAAGUGUAUACAAAUAAGGAGUAAAAGUCUCCUUUUAUAGUGAUACAACCAUAAAGUAGUAAGUAAUACAUCAUAAUUGUAAGAGACAACAAUCCUUAAAUUAAGGAGAUAAUGAGAGUUAUAAGAGAUAAAGUUACUUGUGAGGAGAUAAAAGGAUAUUUCGAUGAACAUCCAUAUAAAUUAUAAUUAUUUCAUAACAUCACCUUAGUUUUUUGUAUUUUGAGUCAUAUAUUUAAUAGAGUACUGUUAAUGCCACAUAAACAAUUAUCUCAAUCCUUGGAUUGAAACAAAUCAAUCAUUAGAUUUUGAUGUCUAAAUUUAAGUCAAAAUCUUAAGUUAGGUUAGAUGGGUGUGGCUAAGUUACAUUACAUGUAACUUAAUCCAACCUAAGAGUUGCACCUAAUAACUCAAGAUAUGUAUUCAGUAAAACAAAACUUGAAUGAUUGGAUGCAACUCUUUGGCUGCAUGUAAGUUACAUAUAAUGUAACAUAAUAUGAUUUUAAAAUAUCUCCUCUCUAAUUUUACAUAUAAUGUAAGUUACAUAAAAAAUUUCAUAAUUUUUAAUAAAAUUUUAAUUGCCAACUAAACAACUAAAUGUUUAGUAAAAAUUUUAUUUAAAUAAAAAAUAAUAUCAACCGGAGCCUAAUAAGUGAAAUAAAUGAAAGUGUAAAGAAUUUAUUUGAGCAAAUUAGUGUUUAAAUAGAGAGCUGGAUUCCCGAAAAGAAGCGCCAACAAAUUUCUUUAUUUUGUUUCAGUCAAUUUCUUUAGCAUGUUUGCCUUUACGGUUGUAGCAAAUUGGCAAAUGAACUUGUGAAGUUGACAAAAAUUAAAUGUUAUUUAUUUAUGUUGUAUCAAUUAAAAUAUAUUUUACUUUUUAUGAAGGAUUGGCAUGUUUCUCUUUGACAUAUCUAUCGUGAAGCUGAUUUUACAGCUGAUUUUUUAGCUAAGAAUGCAGGAACUUUGCCUCUCGGAAUUCAUGUUUUUCAGGAGCCUCCAGCAGAACUUGGUCCUUGGCUUUCUUAUGAUAUGUACGGGAUGAGAAUCUCCCCGUAGUAAUUUCUUAGCUUUGGCUAAGCCUUUUUUGUACCAAAAAAAUAAUAAAAUAAAUAUAUUUUAUGUUUAGCUCGUCGGAUCUCGUAGAGCCAAACUGUCGGUCUCAGUCAUCUUCCCGAAAAUUUUGAAAAACAAAACAUUGGCAAUUAAUAUACGCAACUUACUAUUCAUUGGUAAACAGUAAACUGGCAGUCUUUAAGCCAAGACUAUGUUACCCCGGGGCAACAGAUCCCUCUUUUCGUGAUGUAGUUAGCCCAUCGUGGGAAGAAAUUUUAGAAUACGUUACAAUUAUCAUGUCAAUUAUAUAACAAAUGAAUAAUAUUAUCAUGUGUUUGUAUUUAUUUUAAAAAAUUAUCAUAUAAGUAGUGGUUAUAUUAAAUUCAAUUACAUAUUUUAUACAUGUAUUAAUUGACUGUAUUAUUUUGAUGUAUUUUUAGAAGUUCUCAUUACAAACAACGAAUCCAUCGAACUGAAGGACGACAUACUAUGUUAAAAUAAGUAGACCGACCAUUCCGGUAAAGAAUAGAUAAAAGAUUUGGAAGAAUAUAUGCCGUAAGGAGGAACAAAAAACAUGUUAAUGGACUGAAACUUCAUUGAGCUCAGCAGGAGCAGCAUCGUGAUUGACGAUGAGAAAAAAAUUGGCGCAACAUAAUAGCAAAUGAGAAGGUUAAAAGGUGGGAACAGAUAAUUGGUUAGCAAGAUGAUUAAUAUAUUUUUGUUCCUAAUUAACUAGCAUAGAAUUUUAUUCUAAUCAGAAAUCAUUAUUCUUCACUUAACAACGGAAGCUUGGACUUUAUCAUGUAACUGCAAAAGAAUUUGUUCCUUUUAUUGAUGAAUCCCCCAAAACUCUUAUUACAACUACUCAAACCAUGUAAAAAGUAAAAAUGUAUGAGAGAGAAUACCAAAAAAAAUUAAUAAUAAUAAAUAAAUAAAUAACAACUCAGCCCAAUAAAACAAAUUCAAAGUUUCUUAGGCUUUAAUGCGUGGUGUGCUCCUAUAUAUGUUGCAACAAUGGUCACAAAAAUAAAUGAUGGAAGCACUGCAAACACAUAAAGAAAGAACCAUUACUUCAGGCAACAUUAUAUUUGUAUGAUGGACUCUUCAUCAGAAUGUGGUACGGUUGCUGUAGAUUUUUAUUUAUUUAUUUAUGUUUUAUUUCUCAGCAGAUUGCAUUGGCAUCCACCAAAUUCGGAGACUUCUAUCUAGGCUUCCACUCUAAAGUAAGACCGUUUGGUGAAGUUUGCUAGCAUUUCACGGGCCAUUCAUGAUUCAUGGUCAGUAAUGACCAAUGACGCAAACUCUACAAAACCUAUCGUAAAGCUCUCUCUUCCCUAUCCCAAUACUUUUCUAUUAGCUUAUCCACUUCCAUCAUCAGAAAACACCAUUGAAUUCAAUGAAACAUCCUUCUAACCCUCCAAAAUUUCCAAACUUUUUUUUGGGGUGAAAUUAAAUGCAUCAUGAGAUGAACAAAUAGAUCUUUUGUCUCAAUUAUGUCUCACAAUUUUCAAAAUGAAUAAAGGUCUCGCAGAACUCCAGGUUUGAUGGCUUAGAGGUAGCCCCCACCCAAGACUUCUUUUCCAUUUUUAACUACCAGCUGAAUUGUUAGAACCUUACUCUCAUAAUUGUGAGGACACGAGUUCAAGCCCCCUUAACACAUUAUGAAAGUUUAAUUUUCUUUUUCAAUUUGAGUGAAGUUAAUCUUCUUCUUUUAGAAAUGUAAGUAAAUCUGGGCUGUGGUAUAUAAGACUUAUAAAUUAAUGAAUUGUAAUUUUAGCAAUAGUCUCAUAUCAUUCAAAAAAAGAAAAAAACUACUGCCUAUUUUAUUAUGACUAUUCAAAUCUAACUGUUGCUUCGACAAAAAGACAAAAAAAGGGGGGGUACAAAACCUGGGGUUAAUGUGGUUGUAAGAGUGGGCAAAAAAAGCUGAUUAAUAAAAAAUCGAACUGAAUCGAUCGGUUCGGUUCGGUUUUAAAAACCGAAAUAGUAAUACAAUAAAAAUAGUAAAACCAAUCGGUUCGGUUUUAAAAAAAUCCGAAAAACCGAACCAGAAUCUCAAAUAAACCGAUUGUAAAAAAACCCUAAAGCUAAAAUAUAAAUCUAAACACUUCUGACUUCUGUCUUCUUCGACUUCUUCUGUUCCCGCUGGCCGCUGCUCGUAGUGACCUUCAGCCAAAAGCAAAAACCAAACUCGUGACUCGUGACCUUCAGCCACAGGCUCGAGUCGUGACCUUCAGCCACACUUCUGUCUUCUUCUGUCCCCUCUGCUCGUCGCCGCCGCUGAUCGUCAGUCGUCACCGCUGCUGCUGCCACUGUCACCUGCCGUGUGAACUGUGAACUUCUUCGAGUAAAUGCAAGAUUUUGUGAUAUUUAAUUUUUUUUUUAUAUACUUUGGUGCGGUUAAACUUUGCUGCUGAAUUGUUUAUACCUGUGUUACGGAAAUGGAGAAUUUAGAUAACCAUCAAAUCAUGAGUGGUAAUAAUGGAGAAUUUAGAUAGUUCUCCAAUUAACCCUGUCUCUCUCUGCACCUUUUGCCUUGACUUACUGUCUUCUUCCCUUUGGUUUCUACUUUCACUUAAACUUUCAGCUUCCAUGAUCAUUAUGGUGCCCAGAAAAUGCUUUACUUUCUAUGAAAAUUUGCCUGUUGGGUUGGCCAUUUAUAUUUGUACGUGGCUAGUCGAAGAAUUGCAGGUCCUCGGGUUCUUUACAUUUAAUUAGUUACAAUUUUUAAUUUAAUUGCAGGACUUGAAGUACUUAUAUAAGACAACCAAGUCAUAUAAUUGUUGCCUGUUGCCAUGUUGAUGGUGGCUGGUUUUUGACCUUCAGCCACACUCCAUCACAACAUGCAUUCAGCUGCUGCAAAUUCUAGACCGUGAAUUGUUUGCAGGUUGCAGCAACUUUAACGGUGGUGUUUGUUUGUUAACUUUUUAUGUUUGUGGUAGAUUUAUUAAUUUAAGGUUUUAAAUUUUAAAAAGCCCUAAAUAGGUCCAAUAGGCCCAUAAUCGAAAUAAUCGAACCCAAUCGAAUCGAAUUAUUUUGAUUAAUCGAGUAUUUAAUUAUUUCGGUAAUUUGACUAAUCGCGAUUAUGAUUUUAAAAUAAUCGUAAUCGAACGAUUAUGAAAAAUUUAGUAAAAAAUCAAACCGAACCGAACCGAACCGAACCGCGCCCACCCUAGGUGGUUGGAUCUCCUUCUUUAUUUAAUCGGACCUAUAAGUUUCUCAAGUUCAAUAUCUUAAAGAAAUUAUUUGUUUAUAUUUUAUCAUAAUAAUUAAUUGUCUGAUCUCACAAUUGUUACAAAUUGUGAGGUAUUUCAAAAUACAAAAUUCAUAAUGCACACACAACCUUCAUAUAUGAGCUCACGGGUCUAGCCCAUUUCUUAACCACUUGAUGAAAGCUUAUAUAUUCAUUAUUUUGGACCGAAAAAUCAGUUUUAAACUCAUUUUUAUUGGUCAAGCAGAGCAUAUCUAUAUGUCAGAGGCCGUGGCUUGUUUUUAGCAUUGUAGCUGCUUGAUCUCCGGUUUUAAAAUCAAUUUCAUGCACUGAUUCGUGGCAAAAAUCAAGGGGAUGAUUGUUGUAAUUCAAGGUUAUAAAAAGUCAGCUGCAGUGACGGAUUGGGUUGUGAAAAAAAAAAAGGAAAAGGAAAAUUCUUGUCAUCCUUUCCAUCUUCAUCAAAGCUUUACACUUUACCUUAAAAAAAAAAAUUAAAUCAGCUGUUUGAAUUAACUGUAGUUUGGAGUGGGCCAUUAUAAUUGGAACGCCAUUAAAUCUUGGAAGAUUAGACUGUCAUUGAUUUUUUUAUGCACCCAAAAAUUAUCCGGUAAGGGGCAGAAUCUGUUCUUUAAGGACAAUGCUUCAUUGGCACGCCUUGGCUUUCUAAUUUCAUCACUUUCUGUGUUUGUUUUUAUUAAUUAUUGUUUUGCAACUUCUACAUUUAUCAAUUGGAUUAUUGGAAGAGUUGUUGAAUUGAGGAAAGUGAAGCUACUGGAGAAUUGAAUUAAAUUGGUUUGCUGCAGAUUAUUGUCAAACUUGAUUACUUGAAUUUUUGAGUUAAAUUUGACUUUUAAUUUAUUAGUGGUGGGCUUUCCUUACAAAGUCACCUUCAAUAAUCUUCUUUGUAUUUUUGUGGCCGUAGAAAUUUGACAAAUAUCGGAAUUCAUUUGUUUUAUAUCAACAAUAUUUCAAGAAGCAAUAAUGCGUUUGAUUGAAUUCUGGAGCUUAAAGCAAUAUGCAUGAAUGGAGUUUUGGAAGUGUUCUCUACUAAACACAGCUCUACUAAUUCAACUUCUGUCCAGAUCGGGAGGGGUAAAAAAGAAAAAAAAAACAACAGUGCUCUCUACCAAACACAGCUCUACUAACCCAACUUUUGUCCUGAUUGGGAGGGAAAGGAGAGAAAACAACUUUUGUCGCUUAGAAAAGUCACAUGCAUUGACUGUUGACAGGAUUAAUUUUCACUUACUCCCUAACAAAUUGAUUAUUCCUAAAAUCUGUCCCUAAUUAUUAUAAAUUUAAACUUCAAUUAAGAAGAUACAAAAAUCUUCAUCAAUACGCCCUCAUUUGUCCUUGUGUUUUGAAUGUUAUUUAAAGAUAAGUUGAAAUUUAUAAUAAUUUAAAUUAACAUUUAUUGAUAUUUGAUAGUUAAUACUCAAUUUGAGUCCCUUUAUUUCUCCAACCACACCUACAUGAAAUGGCAAUCAUUAGCUUUCUCUUACAUGUUUUAUUACAAAAAUGUUCCUACUUUAAUGGCUUGAUCUAAUAAAUAACGAUUUGCCUUUACAAAAUUUGUUUUUGAUGUAAAAGAAUGAAAGAACUUUUGCUCGCUCUGUGUUUUACAAACGAUACCAGUGCAAUUUAAGUACACUCUAUACUUGAAAUUGCAUGCUUAUAUGUAGGCUUUUUUUGUUUAAUUUUAAAUAUUCCCGAUAUAUAAUUGGGUGUUAUUUAAUAUUUGAUCCCGAUAUAUAUAUAUAUGGGUGUUAUUUAAUAUUUGAUCCCGAUAUUUUAAAUAUUCCCGAUAUAUAAUUGGGUGUUAUUUAAUAUUUGAUCCCGAUAUAUAUAUAUAUAUAUCGUCAAUAUAUAUUUAUAUGUUUGUGUAACUAUUUAACAUUUUCAACAAAGGGUACUAUUAUAUUUUUGUUUUGUGUAGGUUUACAUUGUAUCCUAGUCAUUAAGUUAUUUGAUAAUGAACAUGAGGUACAAUGCUUCGUUUCAUAUGAAUUUUCAUUCAAAAAUGGAUUACAUUCGUCUCUAAUGAUUAAUAUAAAGAUUUUUUUUAAACAUCUUAAUAAUAUACUACUUAUUCUGGUUAUACUUCAUAAAAUUGUGAUAGAUUUACACAAAGAUUGAGAUGAAAUCUUCACGAUACGCAAAAAUAAUUUUUAUUUCUUUUAUAAAAUAGCAUCAUACAAUAAAAAUCACGGGAUCGGGUGGGAUCUGCUUACAUAAUUCUGACGGGGCAGAAAGAAAUUUACUUAUGUUCGCUUGUAGGCGGUAGCGGCAGAGACGUAAAGCUUACCGCUUGCAGAGAAAGAGGAAAAAAUCGGACAGUUAAAUUCUUCUGCACGAUACUUGCCAGCCUAGCGGCGGCCACCUCAAAAGUUCUUUAGCCAUGUGCUCUCUACCAAACACAGCUCUACUAACCCAACGUUUGAACUGUCAAUUCUAUUCAAAUGAAGGUAAUUAUAGUUUUUUACACUAUAAAAGUUACUUUAAGUCUUUAACUUCAAAAUAAAUGGAAUUGGGGGCGGCGCAAUGACUAUUUGUUGAAAGUAUUGGGAACAUGGUUGCAUAUGUUUUAACAUUUGGGGGCUGCAAAAAGCCAGUGUUUCUCCUUCGAUUUAACUCUUUCCUUGCUUCUCUCUCUCUGGAAAAAAAAAAGGCUUUUGCUGCCUUAAGCACCAUAAAUUUUCGUUAUUCUAUCGGGCCUUUCCGUCAAAAUUUCCAUUUGGCAGCUGGGGAUUGCAUCGAACGCGAAAAACAGAGGUGAAUUCUACGGAGUGACCUUUAACUUCUUUUCUUGCCUUUUUUUUUUUUGGUUUUUUAAGGUUAUUUUGGUUAAAAAAUUUAUGGAUAAUUUUUGAAUACCUACGUGAGGUUUGUCCUUGCUGCACUUAGAGAGAAUAUAUGAAUAUAUUGACAUAUAGGGUCCAGCUAUAGUGCCACGGUUGUAUGGUACCACAGCUGAAUCCAACCUUUGGAUCCAAUUCUGGUGACAACUGUGGGUUAGAUCCAAUGGUUGGAUCCAACUGUGGUAACAUACAACUGUGGUACCAUAGUUUUGGCUAGACAUAUAAUCCAUGUAUCAGCGUUAGAGAGCCGUUUGCUUUCUUGAUGAAAGUACAAUAACGCCCUUCACUGUACAUUACAAUAACUGACAAUGCUGGCAGCAGUGCAGAGUUGGGGUUUUAUAUUUAAAUAUACCCUAUUGAAUGAAUCAAGUAUUAAAUUGAGCAAUAUUUAAAAUAAAUUAAGUAAAAGACGAGUAAGUUUUCUAAACAAAUCGAGUAACAGUUAUGUUAUUUUUUAAAGAAGUCAAGUAUGAUAUUGGGUAAGUCGAGUAUUCGAUCGAGUAAGAAGUGAAGUAAAGGAAUUGAGUAAGUCGAGUAAGUAUGUUGAAUGAGUCAAAUAUUGAGUAAUUUUUUAAACAAGUCGAGUAAACGUCAAAUAUUAUUUUUUGCUUCUUUUGAUCUUGCUCGACUUUGUAACUUAGGGAACCAGUUCAGUUUUCUUAUGAUUUUAUUGAAGUUAUUUUUGUACUUUCGUUAAUUUUUUAAGAAUAUAUAUGUAAAAUUAAAGAUGUUAAUGGUUAAAGGUAUAUUUUGGGUAUUUUUGGGGGAAAUGGGGUAAUAUCCCACUCCAUUCCCUCGGAAAGUUGCAGGCUUGACAAUGCUUCUUGCAUUGCAGAAGAUAACAAAGGAGAAGCUUUAACCCUCUUCUUCACUUCUUGUGUUUCUCUCAUCAGCAACUUCCGUGGCACCUUGUGCCUUCUUCUAUGCAUUUGCAGGUUCUGGUCUCUUUGAAACCCUUAGUUGCAGAUCUCACAUACAUAUCCAUCUGAUUCUAACAAGGUCUUGGGUGAUAAAGAAACCACCUCUGCAUCCGAAUCUAUGCCAGUAUGUGUGUGUGUAAACUAAAAAAAAAAAAACGGAAAAGCAAAAAUUAAUACUGGCAAUUCGCCUUAAAAGAAUUGAACCCAUAUACAAAAGAAAACUGAAAAGGAAAGCUAACUGAGGUGCCUGCUGGUUUUCUUUUUCUUUUGUUAUGAAUAGCUAGGUGAAAGGAUCAGAAGAAGAAGGAGCAUUACUUUUGGUGUUAUUUUCUAACAUAGGGUUAGAAUUUUUGUGGACUAGCAAACCAAUAUGACAAAGUGGUUGUGAUGCAGGAAUAGUGGCCUUUGUUUUUCAGCUUAAUUGAAUAAAGAACAAAACGGGUGGAGAGGAAGUGGGGAAAGAGAAAGAAAAGAAGAAAGUGUAUUUUUUUUUUCUUUUCCCCUUUUCUUAUUCUAAAUUUUUUUUUUUUGAGAGAGAGAGAGAGAGAGGAGAAUGAGGAGUGGGAGAGGAAGCAAAAGCUCUUGCUUUCUUUUUGCAAUAAGCCUUCUUAUUUUUGCUUAUUGUCCUUAACAAGUAACAGCCAAACGAUUCUCUAUCGCCAAUACGCGGUAGGGGAUGUUAUAUGUCAAUAUAUACAUAUAUUCUCUCUAAAUAUAAUAAGGACAAACCUCAGGGGAGGUAUCCAAAAAUUACAUAUAAAUUCUAUGGACCUAAAUCACAAAUGCACUUUUGCAGAUAUGAUGUCGACUACAGAGAUCGAGGAGCCGAUAGAAGAGGAUGAAAAUGAAAUGGAUCCUCAACCUCCGCGGUUAUCUCAUAAACAAUCGUUUGGUAUGUGAUUUGCAUUUUCACAUUGUUAUGAACAGAAUCGGUGAACAGUAGUUUUAGAAUUAAUUAAUUAGGGAAAUCGAUUUAUAUAUUAUUUUAAUUUGCCUAUACUGAUUACAAUAGAUCUAAAUUCCUAACACACAACUUAUUUGAGUUGAAAUACAGUUUUAGCAGGCGCAAACAGAGCAAGAGUUGUAUAUACAUUAUUUAUUAUAUAUUACAUAUUUUCUAGUUUUGAACAGUAAUAAAACUUACGUAUUUUCUAGUUUUGAACAGUAAUAAAAUUUACCAUCUUUACCUAGAGUUGAGGAGAGAGAAAGAGAAGAAAACAAAAAGGAAAAGAAAAGAAAAGAUGUUUGGUUUAAAGUUCUAAUAUUUUAGUAUAGAUUUGUAUUAUUGGAUAGGAGCUGUUUUAUCUCCUACUAGUGUGUGUGGGUGGAGUAAUAACUCUUUUAAAUUUCUUAAAAACUUGUGAGCUAUUUAUAAAGAUUAAUUAUGGGCUGUAUUGUGUGGGCUAUAUAUAUAUAUAUUGUACUGUAUCUUAUUAUUAAAAAAUAAAUAUAUAAAUUUAAUUUUUUAUUUUAAAUUUUGAAUUAACUACUAUCUUAAUGAAAGUUAAAUUCAAAUUUAAAUUAAUUAAUUCGAAAAAUACCAACUAGGCCCAGACAUUUCUAUAACCCGAUUAGUGUUUCCAGAGAUCAACAUGCUUGACUUGUGAUAUGAGAAGGAUGAAUAAUUUCUCUAUAAUUUUUUGAGAAUAAGUGAAAUUUUAUUAAAUAGGGACUAAAUAUAAGUGAAGUAGAUAUUCUUCAAGUGAGAGUUGAAAUUUGGGUUGUGUUAUACUAGACUUAUUAAAGGUAAUUCCAAUAAGUUUUUAAUUGUAAAUAUUAGUAGAAUUCUAAUUACAAUAUAUCACUGUAUAAAAAAAAUGACCGAAUUGUUCAAAUUACAUAUCAAGCCAUUUUGGGCAUAAUAAUUAAAUUGCCGCAGAUGAGAUUAGUUACCGAUAUAUGCACUUAAAUGAGUUAUAUGUAGUCAUGUGAUAUUUAUUAUUUUCACUUCAACGACGUUCUAGUUAUAUAUAACUGUGAUUUUAGGUUAAAUUAUGAAAGGAAAAAAAGAAAAUAUCAAAAGAAUGUAUAUGUAACUUCUUCUUUUUUUUUAAAAAAAAAAAUGUAUUUAUUUUGAUUCGUGUCUAGCAAUUCUUAAUCCGCGUGCUAUUGAAACAGAUAUUGAGGCUGCGAUUUCUUCACGAGUCGACGAAAGUGGUCAAAGUAAGUUCGUUGUAUUUUCAAUAACUGUUCAAAAUAUUGCCUUUAUCAAAAAAUUAAAUUUUAGGUUCUUAAGAGUAGAUAUUGUAGAAUUCUUAUAAAAAUGAAACAAUAAUAUCAGGGAUAUCAAUCUUUGAGUCCCAACUUGAAUUUCAAUAUUAUGUGCCAUUCAUCUAUUCGAUAAUAGAUUUCAUAACUUGUAAAAUUACUUAAUCACCAUCCAAUAGAUGAAUGGCACAAUGAAACUUAGAUGUUGGGAUAUCUAACAUUACUCAAAGUUAAAUUAUGUAAAGGACGAUACUAUUGGCAUUCUAAAAAAUAGGAAAAAGAACACCUACAAUCCCAAGGUUAGGAGAAAUGACCAUUUAGAUCCUUGUUAAGUAAAUAAGAGCACUAGCUCAGCCAUGCCAUCAUUCUCACCCCGGCAUGGAUCACCUCAGCCAAAUGGUAUGAGUAGAACACUGAUAAUGAGUCUUCUACGAACAAGGGCCAACCAGAGAUGAGUAUCAGCCAAAGGAAUGUACCGACCAGAGACAAGUACCGAGCAGAUACCCAUUCCCCAAAGAGCGGGAACGCGAUCUCACGAAAUCACGACAGUUGCGCUAUGUCCAGAACCGUUGAGGGAGACACGGUGUCCCACGUUUACCCACAAUGUAGCAGUUGGAGUCCUAUGAGGAGCUGCCACUACCCGAGAUAAGGGGGGAUGAAGGAUAAAUGGAAACAUGGGACAGCGGUUAUAAAAAAGGAAGAAACCAAUGAAGAAAAGGGAUAGAAAAAUUGAGAGAAGGGAAAACUCUUCCAAAUUAAAACCAGACCAUUUUCAGUACAAACUGUGAGCCAAUUAUAAGCAACUUAUCGAAUCUUAAUUACACCGUUUUUCUGUAAACACCUUGUGCUAACUUAGGCAUCGGAGGGUCUACGCCGGUAAAACCACCGGCGUCUCUGAUCCACUUUUGUUAACACAGGCUUAGUGGGAGAAGGAAGGAUAAUUCCAACUUUAGUGACUAGAGCGAUCGUUGAAGCAAGAAGAAAUUGACAUCCACACUAUUGACUACAUAAACGUUGGUGAAAAGCUACCACCAAAUUAGUAGUUACCGGAGAAGCAGCGAACGGUUGGAUAUGGAUGCGUCAAGGAAGGAUGCCUUAAGGGAUGACAAUGAAACUGUCGAGACGAUCACUCUUCAGGAGAUUGCGAAUGAAGCUCGAGAGAGGAUGAUGCAAGAUCGACUGGAGUGGAUGGAGAAACAAAUGGAGACUCUCACGGCCAUAUUGUGUGAGCUGAGGGAUGAGCGGAGAAGGGACUGCGAAACCCCCGUGGGGAGAGAGGAAGUUGGGGCAGAACCUAGCCUCCGGAGGCGUAGAGUCGAGGAAAUCCCUCUAUCGGUGGACCAACCUUAUGGGGUGCACCCCCAUAAAAGUACUGGUCAGGUUCCAGGGGAGUGCGUGGGUGAAGGGGGGAAUCAACCUCACCCCGGACGGGUACUGAAAAUUGAUGGCCGAAGGGCCAGUGUUGAUGAAGGAGAGCUCAGACAGUGGUUGCAGAAUGCCGAGCAGGAACGAGAUCAGAUAGCUGCGUGCGAUCUUGACCGUGCGGUAGAAUUAGAGGGAGAGGUUCGCAGAUUGGCGCAGGUGAUAGAGGAGAUUUAGGGCAAGAGAAAGCCUCCGAGCUGGAGGAUAAUGCUAGAUAAAGAAUCUCUGUUAUCAACCGAGAUCAUGGGUAUUGUAAUCCCAAGAGAUUUUUGCUUCCCCGACCUCAAAUACUCCGGGCGAAGUGAUCCGCUGGUGCAUAUUGAACGUUUCAACGACAUGACGGGUGUGCAGGGGCUGACACCAGCUCAGAGGUGCAGGGUGUUCCCAUUGACACUAGAGGGACGAGCCCGAGAAUGAUACUGCAAGCUGCCACGGGAGAGUAUAAAAGGGUACGAGCAGAUGUGCCAUGAGUUGCCGAGCAGUUCCGAUGAGCUGUGGCCCUAGAGGAUGACAGGAUGGAACUUAUGGGGAUGAAACAGGAGGAACACGAAUCCAUUUGGAAUUUUAUAAAACGAUAUCACCGAGCCAUGCUGGAUCUGGGAGUUUUUAAUCACCCGCAGGCGUUGAGAGGAUUAAAAGAAGGUGUAAGAAUAGGCCGAUUGUGAUAUAACUUAAGAAGCCCCCUAGUGCAGAAUUACUCGGCGGGGUAUGAACAGGCGAGGCGAGAUAUGGAAAUCGAAGAGGAGAAAUCGGCAAGGAUAAAAAGUGAACAGCUGGAAGAGCUGAGACGAAAGGAACCGAGAGCCCCGAACUAGAGCGGAUCGGGAAAGCGAGCUGGGAAAUCCUCAGUAAUGGGCGGAAUAUCAGCUCGGUCCCGCCCUUACCCCAUAGCUCAGAGACCACAACAGUUCCAACGCAGCCGGGCUCAACCUCCACGCCCCCCAUUCCCGGAGCGGCAACGAGAAUUCAGGCAGAUAGCUGCCCACCCUUAUCACAACACUCCUAGAGCAUUACAUACAACUAACUCCAGGGCUGGACUACCAGAUCAGCUACCAACGAUACCAGCCCGAGGUGAUAUCCAUGAUAGUCGAGCAGUUCAACUGGUUGACCAGAGCUUGGCAUAUAGACAGUACACUCCAUUAAAAAUCUCCAUGGAAGAAUUGUAUGAGAGGAUCGAAGGACGAGGCCUGCUAUACCCUCCGACCCUUAUAACAAAACCUGCUCACCGAUGUGAUAAGAGCAGAUUCUGAAAUUCCACGACACUCACGGUUACAUUAUCAGCCAAUGUCGUGAUCUAAAGAUUCAUGUGGAGGAUUUGGUGAGGAACCGGUACUUAGAUGAAUACGUAGAUGGAGUGUCCCCCGUCAUUGAAUUACAAUACACGCGAGAUGAAGGAGUUGAGAGAAGCCUGGAACGUGAACAGCCAACUAUCCGUGUAAUAGCAGGAGAGCCAACAUUGGCUGGGGACUCAAACAGGGCACGGAAGAACUAUAGGAGAUACGCCAUGACCAGCAAACAAGUGUUUUUCAAUUUGCCAGCAGCCAAGAGGGCAAAGGUGAGGCAAGUUCCCAUUAUGUGGACAGAUGAUGACAAAGAGGGUAUCUUAUAUCCUCAUGAGGAUGCACUGGUGAUUAAGGCAAUGGUGGCUGGUAUAGAAUUGCGGCGAAUACUGGUGGACACGGGCAGCUCGGUUGACAUCCUGUUUAAGUCGGCCCUAGAUGAUAUGGGAAUUUCAAACUUAAAACUGGAGAGGGCGAAUACAUCCUUGAAGGGAUUUGAAGGAGGACGGUUAACCUCCAUGGGGAUCAUCGAGCUCCCGAUUACUGUGGGGUCAAAACCGUUUGAAAAGAUAAUGAUGCUGGACUUCGUCGUGGUAGAAGAGAGAAGCCCUUACCAGAUGAUACUGGGGCAACUUUUCAUGAGGAUAAGCCAAUGCGUUAUAUCUACGCAUUAUCUGGCGUUGAAAUACAGAGUCAACAGAGUUGUAGGAGUAGUAAAAGGUGACUAGAGAAUGGCGAGGAGCUGUUAUGCUACAUCGGCCAAGGAGACACUACAGGUUACCUCCCUGGAUAACCGAGGAGAUUCUAAAGAGGGUCGCCAGGAACCUGUUGAGGAGCUGGAGGAGGUUGUUGUGAGCAAGGAUAACCCGAGCAGAAUGGUUAAGAUCGGGUCAAGAUUGGGCGAAGCAAUAAAGGGCGAGUUGGUGAAAUGCCUACAGUCCCAUGCAGAUAUAUUUGCUUGGUCCCAUGAAGACAUGCCAGGAAUUGACCGCAGGAUAGCUUGCCACAAGCUGGCAAUUAAGAAAGGGGCGAGGCCGGUAAGGUAGAAAAUGAGGUGUUUUAACUAGGAAAGGUACGAGGCUAUAAAUACCGAGGUAGAGAAGCUGUUGAAAGCAGGAUUUAUAAGGGAAGCUAAAUACCCAGAGUGGAUUUCCAAUAUAGUAUUGGUAAAUGAAGGAUGUGUGUGGAUUUCACAGACCUCAAUAAGACAUGCCCAAAGGACAGCUUUCCCCUACCAAAAAUAGAUCAAUUGGUGGAUUCAACGGCGGGUCACAGUCUGCUCAGUUUCAUGGAUGCCUUUUCGAGAUACAACCAAAUACCCAUGAACGAGCAGGGUGAGGAGAGUACCACCUUUAUAACUAACAUUGGUUUGUUUUGUUACAGGGUGAUGCCUUUUAGCCUAAAAAAUGCAAGAGCUACCUAUUAAAGGUUGGUGAAUAAGAUUUUUAAACCAUUGAUCGGUCACACUAUGGAGGUAUAUGUGGAUGAUAUGAUCACGAAGUCUAAAGAACCGAUGGAUCAUGUGAAGCACCUAGAAGAGACCUUUGAAUUGCUGAGGAAGUAUGAAAUGAAGCUGAACCCGGAGAAAUGUGCAUUUGGAGUCAGCUCGGGCAAGUUCUUGGGAUUCCUGGUGAGUCACCGAAGGAUCGAGGCCAACCCGGAAAAAAUACAGGCAGUAACAGAAAUGAAGUCCCCUCGAACAGUUAAGGAGGUGCAGAGCCUUAUAGGGAAAUUAGCAGUACUGAACCGGUUCAUCUCGCAGGCCACAGACAAAUGCCACCCUUUCUUCCAAACCAUAAAGAAAUGGAGGAAGAUAGAAUGGACGUCAGAAUGUGAAGAAGCAUUCGAGCAGCUUAAGGAAUACCUGGCCCGCGCUCCGUUAUUAUUGACUCCAAGGGAAGGUGACCAGUUGUAUUUGUACUUAGCAAUCUCUGAAUGGGCUACCAGCUCGGUAUUAGUCAGAGAAGAAGAAGGAAAGCAACACCCAGUAUACUACACCAGUAAGGUCCUGGUAGACGCGGAAACCAGAUAUCCACUGAUGGAGAAAUGUGCACUAGCUUUAGUCACGGUAGCACGCAAGCUCAAACCAUAUUUUCAGGCCCACCCGAUAGUUGUGUUGACUAACCAGCCCCUUCGGCAAAUGCUCCAAAAACCAGAUGCGUCUUGUCGGUUAGUAAAAUGGUCCGUGGAGUUGAGCGAAUUUGAUCUAUCCUAUAGGCCCCGAGGAGCAAUCAAAGCUCAAGCCCUAACCGAUUUUAUGGUUGACCGUGCUGAACCAGAGGAGGAAACUCAGGGGGAGCAACUAAUGGAGCAAGAUAAACUAGGUGGGGUGUGGCUAGUAAUGGUUGAUGGAUCAUGUAGUGAACAAGGGUCCGGAGCAGGAAUUGUAAUACGAAGCCCAGAAGGGACCGAAAUAACGUAUGCAGUGAAGUUUGAAUUUCAGCUCACAAACAACCAAGCUGAAUAUGAAGCCUUUAUCACUGGGCUUGGACUUGCACACGCACUAAGAGCAGAAAGAAUAGAAAUCCGAGCAGAUUCUCAAUUAGUCUGCAAUCAACUCAGUGAUCAGUUCCAAGCAAGGGAAGAGAAGAUGGGGUUUUAUUUGAAGAAGGCAAAGCAGAUGGUUGGGCUUUUUCAAGCGGUAGAGGUGAAGUAGAUACUCCGGAAUGAGAAUUACCGAGCAGAUAUAUUGGCCAGAAUGGCUGCUAUUGCAGAUCCAAAGUUACCUAUGUCAGUCCCACUAGAGGUGAUGACCUCACCAAGCAUAGGGGAGGAAGUAGAGGUAAUGAGAAUAAGCACCGAGAAAUCCUGGAUGGACCCGAUUCUCUCGUACAUCUGCGAUGGAAUUCUAUCGAAGGACAAGAGGCAAGCAAGGAAGUUAAAAUGACGAGCAGCAAGGUACACGCUACUCGAUGAGGUGCUCUACCACCGAGGAUUCACCUUGCCCCUUUUGAGAUGUUAGGAUGACGAGGAAGCAGAUUAUGUACUGAGAGAAAUUCAUGAAGGAAUAUGUGGCAAUCACUCGGGAGCGAGAACUUUAGCCUUCAAGGCACUCCGGCAAUGAUACUUCUGGCCAACCAUGCACCAGGAUGCGAAAAGUAUGGCAAGGAACUGUAAAGUCUGCCAAACAGAUGGAGUGUCCCCCGUCAUUGAAUUACAAUACACGCGAGAUGAAGGAGUUGAGAGAAGCCUGGAACGUGAACAGCCAACUAUCCGUGUAAUAGCAGGAGAGCCAACAUUGGCUGGGGACUCAAACAGGGCACGGAAGAACUAUAGGAGAUACGCCAUGACCAGCAAACAAGUGUUUUUCAAUUUGCCAGCAGCCAAGAGGGCAAAGGUGAGGCAAGUUCCCAUUAUGUGGACAGAUGAUGACAAAGAGGGUAUCUUAUAUCCUCAUGAGGAUGCACUGGUGAUUAAGGCAAUGGUGGCUGGUAUAGAAUUGCGGCGAAUACUGGUGGACACGGGCAGCUCGGUUGACAUCCUGUUUAAGUCGGCCCUAGAUGAUAUGGGAAUUUCAAACUUAAAACUGGAGAGGGCGAAUACAUCCUUGAAGGGAUUUGAAGGAGGACGGUUAACCUCCAUGGGGAUCAUCGAGCUCCCGAUUACUGUGGGGUCAAAACCGUUUGAAAAGAUAAUGAUGCUGGACUUCGUCGUGGUAGAAGAGAGAAGCCCUUACCAGAUGAUACUGGGGCAACUUUUCAUGAGGAUAAGCCAAUGCGUUAUAUCUACGCAUUAUCUGGCGUUGAAAUACAGAGUCAACAGAGUUGUAGGAGUAGUAAAAGGUGACUAGAGAAUGGCGAGGAGCUGUUAUGCUACAUCGGCCAAGGAGACACUACAGGUUACCUCCCUGGAUAACCGAGGAGAUUCUAAAGAGGGUCGCCAGGAACCUGUUGAGGAGCUGGAGGAGGUUGUUGUGAGCAAGGAUAACCCGAGCAGAAUGGUUAAGAUCGGGUCAAGAUUGGGCGAAGCAAUAAAGGGCGAGUUGGUGAAAUGCCUACAGUCCCAUGCAGAUAUAUUUGCUUGGUCCCAUGAAGACAUGCCAGGAAUUGACCGCAGGAUAGCUUGCCACAAGCUGGCAAUUAAGAAAGGGGCGAGGCCGGUAAGGUAGAAAAUGAGGUGUUUUAACUAGGAAAGGUACGAGGCUAUAAAUACCGAGGUAGAGAAGCUGUUGAAAGCAGGAUUUAUAAGGGAAGCUAAAUACCCAGAGUGGAUUUCCAAUAUAGUAUUGGUAAAUGAAGGAUGUGUGUGGAUUUCACAGACCUCAAUAAGACAUGCCCAAAGGACAGCUUUCCCCUACCAAAAAUAGAUCAAUUGGUGGAUUCAACGGCGGGUCACAGUCUGCUCAGUUUCAUGGAUGCCUUUUCGAGAUACAACCAAAUACCCAUGAACGAGCAGGGUGAGGAGAGUACCACCUUUAUAACUAACAUUGGUUUGUUUUGUUACAGGGUGAUGCCUUUUAGCCUAAAAAAUGCAAGAGCUACCUAUUAAAGGUUGGUGAAUAAGAUUUUUAAACCAUUGAUCGGUCACACUAUGGAGGUAUAUGUGGAUGAUAUGAUCACGAAGUCUAAAGAACCGAUGGAUCAUGUGAAGCACCUAGAAGAGACCUUUGAAUUGCUGAGGAAGUAUGAAAUGAAGCUGAACCCGGAGAAAUGUGCAUUUGGAGUCAGCUCGGGCAAGUUCUUGGGAUUCCUGGUGAGUCACCGAAGGAUCGAGGCCAACCCGGAAAAAAUACAGGCAGUAACAGAAAUGAAGUCCCCUCGAACAGUUAAGGAGGUGCAGAGCCUUAUAGGGAAAUUAGCAGUACUGAACCGGUUCAUCUCGCAGGCCACAGACAAAUGCCACCCUUUCUUCCAAACCAUAAAGAAAUGGAGGAAGAUAGAAUGGACGUCAGAAUGUGAAGAAGCAUUCGAGCAGCUUAAGGAAUACCUGGCCCGCGCUCCGUUAUUAUUGACUCCAAGGGAAGGUGACCAGUUGUAUUUGUACUUAGCAAUCUCUGAAUGGGCUACCAGCUCGGUAUUAGUCAGAGAAGAAGAAGGAAAGCAACACCCAGUAUACUACACCAGUAAGGUCCUGGUAGACGCGGAAACCAGAUAUCCACUGAUGGAGAAAUGUGCACUAGCUUUAGUCACGGUAGCACGCAAGCUCAAACCAUAUUUUCAGGCCCACCCGAUAGUUGUGUUGACUAACCAGCCCCUUCGGCAAAUGCUCCAAAAACCAGAUGCGUCUUGUCGGUUAGUAAAAUGGUCCGUGGAGUUGAGCGAAUUUGAUCUAUCCUAUAGGCCCCGAGGAGCAAUCAAAGCUCAAGCCCUAACCGAUUUUAUGGUUGACCGUGCUGAACCAGAGGAGGAAACUCAGGGGGAGCAACUAAUGGAGCAAGAUAAACUAGGUGGGGUGUGGCUAGUAAUGGUUGAUGGAUCAUGUAGUGAACAAGGGUCCGGAGCAGGAAUUGUAAUACGAAGCCCAGAAGGGACCGAAAUAACGUAUGCAGUGAAGUUUGAAUUUCAGCUCACAAACAACCAAGCUGAAUAUGAAGCCUUUAUCACUGGGCUUGGACUUGCACACGCACUAAGAGCAGAAAGAAUAGAAAUCCGAGCAGAUUCUCAAUUAGUCUGCAAUCAACUCAGUGAUCAGUUCCAAGCAAGGGAAGAGAAGAUGGGGUUUUAUUUGAAGAAGGCAAAGCAGAUGGUUGGGCUUUUUCAAGCGGUAGAGGUGAAGUAGAUACUCCGGAAUGAGAAUUACCGAGCAGAUAUAUUGGCCAGAAUGGCUGCUAUUGCAGAUCCAAAGUUACCUAUGUCAGUCCCACUAGAGGUGAUGACCUCACCAAGCAUAGGGGAGGAAGUAGAGGUAAUGAGAAUAAGCACCGAGAAAUCCUGGAUGGACCCGAUUCUCUCGUACAUCUGCGAUGGAAUUCUAUCGAAGGACAAGAGGCAAGCAAGGAAGUUAAAAUGACGAGCAGCAAGGUACACGCUACUCGAUGAGGUGCUCUACCACCGAGGAUUCACCUUGCCCCUUUUGAGAUGUUAGGAUGACGAGGAAGCAGAUUAUGUACUGAGAGAAAUUCAUGAAGGAAUAUGUGGCAAUCACUCGGGAGCGAGAACUUUAGCCUUCAAGGCACUCCGGCAAUGAUACUUCUGGCCAACCAUGCACCAGGAUGCGAAAAGUAUGGCAAGGAACUGUAAAGUCUGCCAAACCUUCUCAGAGGUUCCUGCACAACCCCCAGAAAAGCUGACCACUAUGACAUCCCCAUGGCCUUUUGCCCAAUGGGGAAUCGACCUGCUUGGUCCGUUACCUAAGGGCCAAGGAGUGGCAACACACGCAAUUGUGGCAGUAGACUACUUCACUAAAUGGGUAGAAGUGGGAGUCCUCAGCUAAAUCACGGAGAGAAAGACGACGAAUUUUAUUUGGAAGAAUAUCAUCUGCAGAUACGGGAUCCCCUAUGCCAUCGUUACAGACAAUGGGAGGCAAUUUGACAACAACAAUUUCAAGAAAUUUUGCCGAAACUUGAGGGUGGACCUGAAGUUCUGCACCCCCGCACACCCCCAGGCAAACAGACAGGUGGAAGCAGCCAACAAAGUAAUAAAGAAACUUCUGAAAACAAGACUGGGAGAGAAGAAGGGAGCUUGGGUCGAUGAUCUACUAGGAAUACUGUGGGCUUACCGGACAACUUACAAAACCGCCACAGGAGAAACCCCGUUUGCUUUAGCUUUUGGUCAUGAGGCGACAGUCCCAGCAGAAAUCGGAGUGGGGACACAUCGGACAGAAUACUUCAACAAGGAGCAAAACGACGAGCAGAUCUGCUUGAGCCUGGACCUGCUGGAGGAGAAAAGAGAAGGGGCCUCGCAGAAAGUGGUCCAGUGUCAGCAAAGAGUCAUGCGCUAUUACAACAAGAACGUAAGCAUGAGACAGUUUCGAGCAGAGGAUUGGGUACUUAGGAAGGUGAACCAAAACACUAGGGAUCCUAACCAUGGCGCUCUUGGCCCGAAAUGGGAAGGCCCGUAUAGGGUGAUACGAGUGACUGGACCAGGAGCUUACAAGCUAGCGUACCUAGAUAGACGAGACGUGAAGAGAUCGUGGAACGCCGAGCAUUUGAAGAAGUAUUUCCAGUAAGCAAAGUGCUCUACUAAGUCUUCAUUUUGAUAAGUUAUCUUUGUUAAAUGCAUGAUGACUUGUUGAACAUGCACAUAUUCCGCAUGUCUGUAAUGCAUUCAAGUUUCAAUAAAGAUGAAUUCAGCAUAAAAUUCCCCUGCUAGCAAGCCCAUUAAAUUUUUACUAAGGCAAGUAAGUGUCUGCUCCUGCUCGGUCAACAAAAGACCAGUAGGCAAUUUUACGAAAUUCUACGAAGGCAAGUAAGUGUCUGCUCUUACUCGGUUAACGAAAGACCAGCAAGCAAUGUACAAAAUUCUACUAAGGCAAACAAAUGCCUAAUCCUGCUCAGUCAAUGAAAGACCAGCAGGCAAUGCUACAAAAUUCUACUAAGGCAAACAAGUGCCUAUUCCUGCUCGGUCAACGAAAGACCAGCAAGUAAUUUUACGAAAUUUUUAUUAAGGCAAGCAAGUGCCUAUUUCUGCUCGGUCGCUUAAGGACCACCAGGUAAUUUCACGAAAUUUUACUAAAGCAAACAAAUGCCUAUUCCUGCUCGAUCGCUUAAAGGACCAGCAGGCAAAUCUAUAAAUUUGGUUAUGGCAAACAAGUGUCUAUUCCUACUCAGUCGAUUAAAGAACUAGCAGGCAAAGCCAACUAAAAGUGUUAAGGCCAUUUACAGAAACGAUCUAUAAGCAAAACCACAACAGAAGAGCUAAUAGAAAGCAUCUAAAAUUUAUACUCAAAAUGUUUACAAAACAGAUGAAAGUUUAGAGUUUAUACAAAAAAAGACCUAAAAAUUAGGAGGAUCGAUAGUUGAAGGAUUGGCAAUCUCGGGAGGUGGAAGAUCAGCAACAUCGGGAGAAUGAGGCAUGGACCCUUGACCCACUUGAAGAGCACGGCCCCCAGCUCCCCCCUCAUGCGCCCCACCUGAGUGAGGUUCCACCUGGUUCUGAUCCCCCUGCUUUUUGUCCCCUUGGUCGGACUCAGCCAUAUAUCUCUGCACUCCAACCUCCAGCUUGCUCAUGUCAAGCUCAGGAUAUUCCUCCUUAAGCACAGACAUGAUGCACUUGUAGCAGAAAGCAACCCCAGAGUCAUACUCUACCUCCAGCCAAUCAUCCACAUCAGCAGAUUUGCCUUUCACCUCGGCCAACUGCUCAUUUAGAGAUUUGAUUUCUCCCUCAAGAGCCGUCUUCAAGGUGUCCCGCUCACUCUGAGUGGCCUGGAGAUCAGACUUCAGAUCACCCAACUCACUUUCAAGCUUGAUGGAGGUGGACUUAGCCAUGGCCACUUUCUCCUCCAGAUCCAUGAUUUGCUUGCGCAGAUCAAGCAACUUCUCCUUCGAGCGAUCGGCGGACUCAGCUUUCUUCUUUAAGUCCUGGUUAUCAGCUUGAAGCCUUCUCUCAUGGAGAAGGGACCUGUUCUUGUAGCACGAAACCAGGGUGGCCAGCUUAAAGGAAACUCUUUGAACGGAACCAGCUAACUCGACGAAGUUCAUGCUCUCGAUAUCCUUCACCAUCUUAGGCCCCACCGAUUUGUCGUAAUCCCUCUGGUACGGGCUUAGGUAGUCAACUUGAUCCCGAGACGGAAGAGAAGAGGAUCAGUCCCCGGACUGAACGCUGACUUCAGGACUCUUAUCACUCACCAUUUUUCCGAGGUGGAGGAGGAGGCAGAGCAGGAACAGAAGCCUUGGGUGGACCAACAUUGGCUUUCUUUGGAAGAGGAGGAAGAUUGCUGGAGCUGCUUGGAGCCCGACAACACUUUCUGGUCAUCGCGCUGAGGAUCUUGUUAUCCAUUCCGGCAGCUAUGUCCACUAAACCUGAACCGACCAAGUUUGUUGGUGACAGGAGGUCUUGGCAGGUAGACGCGUUCACCAGAGCAGUUUCCACCUGGAGCAAAGGUCGGUCUUCAAGUUCCUUAAUCAAACCCCACGACUCUGAAAAAGUAAACAAGGUUAAAGAACCCAAUAAGUGGCAAUUUGAGAAAGAAUAUAGGCAAAAAAUGAGCGACCUGGGGUGACAAAAUGCGUUGGAAGGUAAAUAUCACCACCAAGUGAACGAGCUACUGUACACCAAUUUUUUCCAGCAAAGAAGAAUUUGUUCUUUCAAUUUUUACACGAUGAGGGGAAGCCGGUGAUUGGCUUCCUCUUCACGGAGCUCGACAUGAAAUAGUACCAGCCUACUUCCUUCAGGCUACUCCUCAGCUGGUAUAAAUGCUUUACUUCAACAAGAGAGGGCUUCUCUGAUCUACACCUCUCCCAUAACACAUACAUAGCCGAAAGAACCCUCCACCCAUUUGGGUGUAGCUGACCUGGGGCCAGGUGCAUACCACCUAGUAUCUUGGCAAAGUAACGCUGAAGGGGCAUCCGAGCUUCUAGCUUGAAACUCUCCAGGUGCAUCGUCACAUACCCCCUCGGAGGCCGACUAGGAACGUCGCCUUUCCCAGGAACUACAAGAAGAACCUCCUCAGGAAUGUUGUAGAGAUUCCUAAGCUUGAACAAAUCAGUUGGGGUAGUGGCACAAGCUAUGUAUUCAAUAGGGUAAGAAUCCGCUUGCACCCUAUGGCUAAAGUUCCUUUUCUUAGGGGGUCUGCUUAGCUCGGAACUGCUCCCCUCACCAUCACCUACUUCUUCAGGGACCCCAACCCCACCAGAACUGUGAUUCUCACCCAAGCCCGACGCAGUGCCACCUCUGUUUCCUACAAGCUCUAAUUCAGGGGAGGGUGAAGUGGCCAUGGGACGAGGGUAUUCAGGGGUAUCCCUAUAACAGGAGGAACCUACACUGCGAGAGGAGUGUAGAAGGUCACUGAGUCCAAAUAAAUGGGGAUAUGAAUCCUCUAUCUCUUCAUCGCUCUCGACUACAAUUCUUUUUCCUCUUGGGUUGGACAUACUGAAGUUUAAAAAGGGAAAGCACAAAUAACUAAGAGUGUGGAUACAAAAAAGGGACAAACACAGAACCCACAAUACAAAACUCAAUCAACAACAACCAGAGAAGGGGUUGAAGGCUAUACUUGGAAUAGACUGGCACUGAUGAUGUUGCUGUGAUAGAGAAAAGACCCAGCAAAUGGAGAUCCCAGACGCGGAAAGUGUGAACGAAGUUCGAAGGAGUUGUCUUACGGCAGAGAAGCGAAUAGCAAAACAAGGAUGACUUUAGUUUAGGGAUUUGAAACGAAAAUGGGGAAAUGGAAGCGUUUGAGUGAUAGGAGUGCCAGCUCAUUCACCGUAUAUCGAGGAUGGAUAGCGCGUCGUUUCAAAUUUCAAAUACGAGGAGUCUGGAAAUGCCACGUCAAUAACCGUUAUAAAAGGCCAUACGAAACGCAAGCCCAGAUAUGCAAUGGACAUGCUCAUAAAGGCCCAUGCAUAGGUCAGAAUCUCUCUAGACGAAAAAUGGAACCUCAGGUCCAUCCCAGUAAACAGAAGACCAGAUGAGAAGUUCCCUAGAUCGAUGAGAUUUGAUUAUCAGUUUCUACUCUCAACCCGUUUCACUCGCAAGACUAGAAACUGGGGGACUGGCGUUAAGUAAAUAAGAGCACCAGCUCAGCCAUGCCAUCAUUCCCACCCCAGCAUGGAUCACCUCAGCCAAAUGGUACAAGUAGAACACUGAUAAUGAGUCUUCUACGAACAAGGGCCAACCAGAGAUGAGUAUCAGCCAGAGGAAUGUACCGACCAGAGACAAGUACCGAGCAGAUACCCAUUCCCCAAAGAUCGGGAACACGAUCUCACGAAAUCACGACAGUUGCGCUAUGCCUAGAACCGUUGAGGGAGACACGAUGUCCUACGUUUACCCACAAUGUAGCAGUUGGAGUCCUAUAAGGAGCUGCCACUACCCGAGAUAAGAGGGGAUGAAGGAUAAAUGGAAACGUGGGACAGCUGCUAUAAAGAAGAAAGAAACUAAUGAAGAAAGGGACAGAAAAAUUGAGAGAAGGGAAAACUCUGCCAAAUUAAAACCAGACCAUUUUCAGUACAAACUGUGAGCCAAUUAUAAGCAACUUAUCGAAUCUUAAUUGCACCGUUUUCCCGUAAACACCUUGUGCUAACUUAGGCAUCAGAGGGUUUACGCCGGUAAAACCACCGGCGUCUUUGAUCCACUUUUGUGAACACAGGCUUAGUGAGACAAGGAAGGAUAACUCCAACUUCAGUGACUAGAGCGAUCGUUGAAGCAAGAAGAAAUUGACAUCCACACUAUCGACUACAUAAACGUUGGUGAAACGAUCUGAACGGGCAAAGGGCGAGCAGAUUUCAGCAUCAACACCUAACAUUACUCAAGGUUAAAUUAUGUAAAGGACGAUACUAUUUGCAUUCUAAAAAAUAGGAAAAAGAACACCUACAAUCCCAAGGUUUGGAGAAAUGACCAUUUAGAUCCUCGUAUUUUUAAUAAGAAAAACCAAGAUCCCUUUUGAGUAAAAUACCUUUGGCUCUAUUAACUCAAAAAAAAAAAAACAAAUUGACUCUAAUGUUUUAUAAUAAAAUAGAAAUAUAAUGUUAAAAUAAAUGUAACAACAUAUACAUAUUAAAACAAACAAUCUUAUACUAUAUUAAACUAAAUUUUAUAAUAAAUAGAAACGUAAUAUUAAAAUAAAUAUAUGAAUAUUAAAAUUAUUUAAAAUAUUAUAUAAAAUAAUUUUAAUAUUAUUUCAAUACAUUAGAUAUUUUAUUAAUUGUAACAUCUAUUUAACUCAAAGAUUUAUUUAAAAUUUUUAUAAUAAACACAAAUAUAUUGUUAAAAGAAUAUAAUCAUUUAUCCUUUUAAAAUUAUUUUAUAUAUUAAAAAAUUCUAAUCUUGUUACUUUACUAGAAAAUUUAACUAUUUAAAUUGUAUUUAUAUUUAUUAAAAAAAAUUAAAGUCAAUUUUUUUAGUUACUAUCUAUUAAAGAUAUAGGGAUGACAAUUAGCUUAUAUGGGUUGGAUCUACUCUGCUGCAGAUCCAGAUCCAUAAUAAAAAUCAAGAUCCGUAUCUGCUCCAGAUCCGUCAUGAAUUCAUAUAUUUCGCUCCAUAUCCAGAUCCAAAAAAGAAAUAUAUAUAUAUAUAUCUGCUCCAAAUCUUAAAAAAAAAUUAAAAUCUAAAUCUGCUCUAAAUCCGUCAUGAAUUCUAAAAUUCAGUAAUAAAAAUGUAAUAAUUUUUUAGAAUGAAAAUUGAAGGCUAAAAUAUAUUGAUAACAAAUAAAUUAUACAUUUUUUCUCAAAAAUAUAAUAAAUAUUAUAGCUUAUUCUUUUACAUCAAAACAACAAAUAAGAAAGAUAAUAAAAUAUCAUUCAAAAGUAAUUGCAGGAGUAAUAUCAAUCUAAUAUUUUAUUGUCUCCUUCAUCAUUCUAAUAUCCACGACACACGCACCCUCAUUCCUACAACAUUAGAUAAUGACAUAUAAAUUAAAUAUGAUUUAUAUUCAGUGCUUUAUUAUUUUUAUUAUGACCAUAUUUGACUAAAUAUAUGAAUAACUAUAUUCCUUAAAAAUUAUUUGGUCAAUAUAAUAAAAUAAAUUGCCAGGUUGUAUUACUUGGCUUGCAAUUUGAAUAUUGCAUGUACAUGCUUUGGGGAUGACUAACCUUUAAAUUUGCAAAACUAAUCUUUAAGUUUUAAGAGUUUAAAUGUAUGGUAAAUACCACUAAUAUGCUAUAAAUAAAAUAUAUUAUCAUUAUAAUUCCACAUUGUUAAGAGACUUUUAAAAUAAAAUAAAAUUAAAAGAUGAGUGGAUAUGGAUAGGAUUUAGAUAUUGAGAUAGAUCCAGACCUGCUCUAGAUCCGUGUUAGAUCUGUACAUCGAUAUCUAAAUCUGAUCUAAAUUUAUUUUAAACCGACCCAAAUCCGAUCCGAUUGGAUUUGGACCACGUGGAUCUUGGGUCUAAUCCAAUCCAUUGCCAUCCCUAUAAAGAUAUUAUAGUAAAAAAGAAUUAUUGGUGUCCCUUAUGGAAAUCUUAGGGUCUACAUGAUCAUAUUUUUAAAUCUUGAGAAUGUAGUCAUCCUUUUUCCUUUAAAAUAUUAGUUUUUCUCUAUGCACUCCAUUGAAACCAAGAUGGAUUGCUCCUUGAAACUAAGCUGAGGUGCCAACGUUUAUCAAAGAUACCAAAGCCUACUGCAGCUAAAUUAAUUACUAUUUAAAUUAAUUAUCUUUAUUUACUUUGAAAGACUCAAAUAACAUUGAAUCCAUCAAAGUAAUUAAUCAAAUAAUUACCUUUCUCUAUCAUAAUUUGUAAUUAAGAAAGAUUGAUUGUCAAUCAACAUAAAGAUUGAUUGACUUAAUAAUUGCUAAUCAAUCAUUAUUUUCAGAUUAUGUUAAUUGUAUCAUUUCCUUUUUCAUGUUUCAAAUUAUAUAAAUUGAACUUUUGUUCUCAUGAAUUAAUAAUUAAGAGUGAAAUUUAUAUUUUUUGUAUUGUUUUUGAAAAGUUUUCACAAGAGACACUGAAAAAUAAAAAAGUGGGUGAUGAUUUGAGAGAGAGUCCAAAUGUUUGAGAAUCUACAACAUUAGAUAAUGACAUAUAAAUUAAAUAUGAUUUAUAUUCAGUGCUUUAUUAUUUUUAUUAUGACCAUAUUUGACUAAAUAUAUGAAUAACUAUAUUCCUUAAAAAUUAUUUGGUCAAUAUAAUAAAAUAAAUUGCCAGGUUGUAUUACUUGGCUUGCAAUUUGAAUAUUGCAUGUACAUGCUUUGGGGAUGACUAACCUUUAAAUUUGCAAAACUAAUCUUUAAGUUUUAAGAGUUUAAAUGUAUGGUAAAUACCACUAAUAUGCUAUAAAUAAAAUAUAUUAUCAUUAUAAUUCCACAUUGUUAAGAGACUUUUAAAAUAAAAUAAAAUUAAAAGAUGAGUGGAUAUGGAUAGGAUUUAGAUAUUGAGAUAGAUCCAGACCUGCUCUAGAUCCGUGUUAGAUCUGUACAUCGAUAUCUAAAUCUGAUCUAAAUUUAUUUUAAACCGACCCAAAUCCGAUCCGAUUGGAUUUGGACCACGUGGAUCUUGGGUCUAAUCCAAUCCAUUGCCAUCCCUAUAAAGAUAUUAUAGUAAAAAAGAAUUAUUGGUGUCCCUUAUGGAAAUCUUAGGGUCUACAUGAUCAUAUUUUUAAAUCUUGAGAAUGUAGUCAUCCUUUUUCCUUUAAAAUAUUAGUUUUUCUCUAUGCACUCCAUUGAAACCAAGAUGGAUUGCUCCUUGAAACUAAGCUGAGGUGCCAACGUUUAUCAAAGAUACCAAAGCCUACUGCAGCUAAAUUAAUUACUAUUUAAAUUAAUUAUCUUUAUUUACUUUGAAAGACUCAAAUAACAUUGAAUCCAUCAAAGUAAUUAAUCAAAUAAUUACCUUUCUCUAUCAUAAUUUGUAAUUAAGAAAGAUUGAUUGUCAAUCAACAUAAAGAUUGAUUGACUUAAUAAUUGCUAAUCAAUCAUUAUUUUCAGAUUAUGUUAAUUGUAUCAUUUCCUUUUUCAUGUUUCAAAUUAUAUAAAUUGAACUUUUGUUCUCAUGAAUUAAUAAUUAAGAGUGAAAUUUAUAUUUUUUGUAUUGUUUUUGAAAAGUUUUCACAAGAGACACUGAAAAAUAAAAAAGUGGGUGAUGAUUUGAGAGAGAGUCCAAAUGUUUGAGAAUAUGAUAUUUAUCUAAUGGAGGCUAAAAUUAUAUCAUUGGUCCACUGGUAGGCUUUUUGGUGAAAAAGAAAGUGCAUAAGAGUAUUGUUAGGUAUCUUAACAUUCAACUGAUGUGAUAUUUAUCUAUUGGAUAGUAGUUAAGUAAUUUUAUAAAAUAUGAAAUCCAUCACCUAAUAGAUAGUGACACAUGGCAUUGGAAUUUAAAUUGGGACUCAAAUGUUGGGAUCCCUAAUUUAGAAUUUGAUAUAAUGCUUAGAUAUCAAAAGAGUAGAAUAUUUUGAGAGUUUUAUGUCACAUUUAGCAAAAAAAUCAAGAAUAUUCCUUAGCACAAUCGUAUUCUUUCCAUAAACUUGUAUGCCCAAUCUUGGCUAUGGAUUUCCAAGCCCAUAAAAUAUAGUAAACUCUUGCAUACGACAUUUUUAUAUUGCUCCGAGUGUUGUGUUAAAAUGAUUAAUCUUGUGAUCAUUGUGCCUUAAUUAUAAUUAUUCACAUAUCCUUUAUUUAUUGGUUCAAAAUCAUUCCAAAUAAUUAUGAUAAAUUAUGUUCGGAUUGGUCUUUUUGUUAAAAUUAGUAUUGUUCAACAAUUUUUUUAUUGAUAACUUUUGUUAUUGCUACAACUCGAUAGAAGAGACUUGCGAGGAAAGAAGUACACUCUCCAAAUUGUAUCGAGCUGCAUUAGAUGAUGAUUGGCAGACAGCUGAAACUAUUUUUGACUCGCAUGAAGAUUACGUGAAAGCUUCUCUCUCAAAGCUAGGGGAAACGGCUCUCCACGUUGCAGCUUCUGCAGGCCGCAUUGAUUUUGUGAAAAAUCUGUUAGGGUACUCACCCCAGGUUUUAAAACUCACGGAUUAUUUUGGACAGACAGCUCUUUCUUUAGCGGCAGCAUCCGGAAACUUGGAUCUUGUCCAGUUAAUGACUGAGGAUAACGAACACUUGGCACUUGAUCGAGAAAGCGUUGACCAAUAUUUGCCAAUUCACGCAGGAGCGAUGUCAGGCCAUAAGGAGGUGGUACUGUACCUUUAUUCAAUCACUGAAGGUCAAUUAGACAAUAAGGAUCUCAUUGAAUUGCUCAUCAUUCUUAUAAAAACCGAUUUAUAUGGUAAGCACUACCUUUCUUUCUUUUCGUUUUUUUCCCUCCUUUUUGACGAUAUGGUGAUAGGAUAAAUUCAUAAAUAUCAGAUAAAUUCAUAGGAUCAUUUCUUAAAUUUCUUAGAUAUCAUUGGACAUACGCAACAAUUAUAGAAAACUAAUUUGCUGUUUGUUUUUUAGCUUGAAGUUUGAAUUUAACUUUUUUCAUACAUUUAUUUAUUUUAAGUUUGAACCUUUCUGCUGUACCGUACAUCCGCCAACAGUGUUGACUUUAUAAUAAAAUUUGAUGUUAUAAUUACCUCUUUUAUUAAAAAAUUAUAUUAAGAUCAACAAUGAUAGUAUUUUUUUUAAUGUUAGAAAACUAAUCAACUUGUGAAAAUUAUAAAUUGUGAAGAACAAAUAUAUUCACCACUUAAAAAGAUAUUUAUGUCAAACUAUUAGCUUUUAAGUUUUUCUCUUCAGAUGUUGAAAAAGAAAAAAACUAACAUGUCAUUCAAACAUCUUCAUUCAGACCUAUUAAGACUUCAACUAAAUUCAUACUUAUUCAGAUUUCAGAUAAAAAACAAACGCAACCUAAGAAUCAUUUGAGUGGCGGCAGAAGAAAGAUAGAGGAAUUUAAGAUAAUUAAUGUUAUAACUACAAAUUAAUGUAAAUUAUUUUUUUCACAAAUUGAUGUGGCAUUACAUGAUUGGUUGAAGGAAAAUAUAAAAUAUUAAAAAUAAAUUAUGUGGACUAGGUGAUAUCUUUAUUGGAUCACUCAUGUGAUCCCACAUCAAUUUGUAUGAAAAAAUUUAUAAUUGUAUCAUUUAAGAAAUAACUAAUAUUAAGAAUUUUAUUAUUAUUAUGCCUAUAUAUAUAUAUAUAUAUAACUUGUAGCUUUAACGUUAUUGUUUUUCAUAAAUUCUCUCGGUUUUGUACAAGGAAUGCCUUAAUUUCUCGUCAUGGACUAGGAUUUAACAAAUAAAUAAGCCAAGUGAAAACCUUCAUGGUAUAUGUCAUAUAUAUAGUCUGCAGAAAUCAAUUGUAAUGAUAUAGCUACAAAUAAUUUUAUACAAAAUAAUAUGGCAUACUAUCAUCAAUUAAUAAAAAUAUUGCUUGAUUCACAUGAUUUAUUUUUAUCUAACCAAUGAUACCACGCCACAUCAGCGGAAAUAAUUUAUAGAAGAAUUUGUGACUGUUAUAUUAGUCAUUUUGAGUACGAAAAAGAAAUAUCAAUGCAAAUUUAUAUAUCCGGUGUUUGCUGCACCCAGAGGUUGCGUUGCGAUUAUUUAAGGAUCACCCGCAGUUAGCGACUCUUCGUGAUUCAAACGAGGAGACUGCAUUGCACGCCUUAGCAGGAAAGUCAAUGAUGUCUUCUUACUUGGCUAAUCAAAAUCAGCAAGGGAUGCUUCAGAAUUUCUUCAGCUCAGGUAAGUUCACUAAACUGUAAGACCUUCGGCAUGCCCUUGCUUGCUUAUGCUGCUUUCACAAACAAAAUUUUACAUUUCAUUUUACAAAUAUAUAUGAUUUAGAAAAUGAGGAACAUUAGAGUAGGACUAUAUAUAUAUCUAUAUAUUUUGGUCGAACAUACAUAGUAUAUUUGCGUAGGGUUUAACAUAAGAGUUAGUCAGAAUUCGUAUUUGUCAGUCUCUAAUUAGGUUCCCAUUUUAUUAAAAUAAGGAAUAUCUUAUUAGAAGGGGAUUCUAUUUAUAUAUUUAAUAUGUCUAGGGGAAUUUGUUUUUGGGGUAGGGAAUGAAUUUCCAUAAUGCUCCUCCAGCAUUUUUAUCUCACUAUCAAGUUGUCUGUAGCUAAUGUUGGCUCAACAAAACUUUCACUUUCACAUACCGUGCUCGAGCAAGCGAUUACGCUGGUAGAAAUCAUUUGGAAAGAAGUCAUACGGUCGCAAGACUCAGAAAUUUCGACAUUAAUUGAACGACCAUUUCAACUAACAUUUGUUGCUGCCGAGAAAGGGAACAUCGAGUUUCUAAGAGUACUUAUCCGUGAAUAUCCUUAUAUAAUAUCGAAACAUGACGACAUGGGUCGUACCAUGUUUCAUAUUGCAGUUUUGAAUCAUCAAGUGAAAAUCUUGGAGCUCAUAAAUGAGAUGGGUUCAAUGAAAGAUAGGAUCGUUUCGAGAAGAGAUUACGGAGGAAACAAUAUACUGCAUAUGGCUGGAAUGCAACCAAGCAAUGAGGGGCCCAACGUUGUAUUCGGAGCAGUUCUCCAACUGCAACAAGAGGUACUUUGGUUUAAGGUGAGUAUUCAGGCUACUCUUCUGCGUAAAAAGUAAAAAGCUUGUUUUCUUUACCUCAUUCAAAAACUGUUUUGUGACAUCGAAAGCAGAAAGUGAGUGAGAUUGUGCGGCCAGUGGAUGCUGAAGCUAGAAACUAUGGUUUACAAACGCCUAGAGAAUUAUUCACUCAGAGUCACCGAAGUUUAAUUGAAGAUGGGCAAAAAUGGAUGAGGGAAACUGCAGAUUCAUGCAUGGUUGUCGCUACACUAGUUGCCACAGUGGUUUUUGCUGCAGCUUUCACCAUACCGGGUGGCAAUAAAGGAGAUACAGGAGUUCCUAUUUUUAUUGAAGAGGCUUCCUUUAUAGCGUUUGCCAUAUCAGAUGCAGUAGGGCUGGUAUUCUCUGCAACAUCAAUACUAACUUUCUUGUCCAUUCGUAGUUCCGUCUAUUCAGAGGAGGACUUCCUCUGGCGGGUGCCCGGGAGUUUAGCGUCUGGACUUGCAUCACUUUUUAUGUCAAUAGCAGCAAUGAUGGUGGUCUUUUGCGCAACUUCUUUCACUAUUUUUCACGGCCGAUUGCCAUGGCUUCCUGUUCUUGUUACCGUGAUUUCCUCUAUACCAGUCCUCCUGUUCAUUCGGCAAUAUCACCGUUUCUUUGCUAAUACUUUGGGUGUGCUCCAGUUAUCUUCUUUCGUGUAGCUGUUGGAAUUUUAUAUGGAAAGUUUAAAAUUCUAAUGUCCCACAUUGGAGGAAAUUAAGAGCAAUUAUUUUUGUUUCAUUUAAAAUUAAUCAUGUGUUUGAUUUAAUUACAAACUAGAGUUGAAGAUUUAAUUACAAACUAAAGUUGAAUAAGUCAAAUACUCAAAUCUACAACUGUCUCGCAUUUUGCUUCAUCAGUUUCCUUUUUGAAUUUGCUGAUCUAAACUGUUGUUCUUGAAGCGCACAACAAUGUCAUUGUGUCUUGAAUGUCAAUUCACUUUGCUCAACCGUCACAAUUUUCAUCUAAUUUCAAGAAAAAUAUAUUUUUAAUGACUUUUUUUUUUAAGAACCGUAAUUAAAUGUUGACAUUUAAUGACAAUUUUGUGUCACAACCGUCAUCUUUUUGUUGUUGAUUACAAAAAAUUAUUAUUAUUAUUAUUAUAAUAAUUUGUAAUUUAAAAGCCAUUUGAACCCUCUGUUUCAAUUGUAAUUUUCUAUUAAAUUCACUCAAAUGUCUCAUGUACACAGGAUAGCUUUACAAAAAAAAAAAAAAAAAAAAAAAACUUUANNNNNNNNNNNNNNNNNNNNNNNNNNNNNNNNNNNNNNNNNNNNNNNNNNNNNNNNNNNNNNNNNNNNNNNNNNNNNNNNNNNNNNNNNNNNNNNNNNNNNNNNNNNNNNNNNNNNNNNNNNNNNNNNNNNNNNNNNNNNNNNNNNNNNNNNNNNNNNNNNNNNNNNNNNNNNNNNNNNNNNNNNNNNNNNNNNNNNNNNNNNNNNNNNNNNNNNNNNNNNNNNNNNNNNNNNNNNNNNNNNNNNNNNNNNNNNNNNNNNNNNNNNNNNNNNNNNNNNNNNNNNNNNNNNNNNNNNNNNNNNNNNNNNNNNNNNNNNNNNNNNNNNNNNNNNNNNNNNNNNNNNNNNNNNNNNNNNNNNNNNNNNNNNNNNNNNNNNNNNNNNNNNNNNNNNNNNNNNNNNNNNNNNNNNNNNNNNNNNNNNNNNNNNNNNNNNNNNNNNNNNNNNNNNNNNNNNUUAAAAAAAAAAAAAAAAAAAAAAAAACUUUAACGAUCAUUAACAUGCAAUAGAGUACAAAUUAGCUUCUUUAUUAAAAUUUCCAUAACUUUACCAUUUCAAGCCUAAGAUUUACUACCUCGUAACCAAAAAAUUAACAUGGUUAGAUGUUGUCUUGUAAAAAUAUGUUAAUUACCAAAGGGAGAAAAAUUAGUAUGUAAAUAAUAGAAAAAAAUAUAUAAACAUGUAGAUUUACAGAAGAUAUAAAUGCAAGUUAUUUGAUGAUUAAAUAAAUUUAGUUCGUAGUUGAUAAAUAAAGUUGGACACUUUAUUUAGGUAUAGACUGUAAUAAAUUCAUUGAAUAAUUGUCUUAAUCAUAUAUGAAUUUAUUGAUGUAGUACGACUACAUUGAACAUGAUCACAUAUGAGAUUUAAUUAACUUUAUAAUAAUUGUCAGACUUAUUAAAUCUCAUAAGCACUGAUUUUACUGUAAUCUUAAUCUUGAGUUAGUUAUAAUUUCAUGAUUGUAAUUGUUAUUCAAUUUGAGUUACCAAUGGGCAUGAUACACACAUGUAGUCAAGAUUACCCGAUAUCUUAGUGAGAGCAAUUAUGAGUAUUGAAGUUAUAGAUUAACAAUAUAGAAUUUGUACAAUACAUCUCUUGAUGGGUUUUCGGCACUUGACUAUAGAAUUCUCUGGCCAUAGUGUGUCAACAUAUUUAGUAUGUUGAAAAUGAUCAUUAGAGAAAAUUAGUAAGUAUCAAGGAAUAAGAUGUAAUUAAAUUGAUUGGAUAGUUGAGAUAUCGAUUUAAUUAACGAUGUGGUACAAAUGAUUAUGCAGUAAAUAGAUCAAUGUGGCUUGGGGAGAAUUAUUAUUCAAACAUACAAUUAUGGAGGUCAGUUCCAAUAUUAUAGUGAAGUAGAGUUGGAAUUAAAUGAUUAGGCUUGUUCAUUUACAAGUUUUAUUGUUGUAGCCACUAUUGUAUGUUUCCAAAUUAUCCCCAAGUUAACUCAUUUGAUUGACUGCACCACUACUGAACGUAAAAAUUAGAAAACUGGCAUGUUAGGUGAUAAACCUAAUUAUAAUAUUUGUUAAGAUCUUAUGUGUUAUAUUCAUGUGCAAAUGGUGUCUUGUGUUAUUUUACAAGGUGGGCCCCAAAGUGGUUACACAUGAUUUUCACUUUCACUUAAGUAGAGAGAUAAUAUUAAAUUCAAAAUAUUUAUUAUUUUGAAUUAUAAUAAAGGAUAAUACAUAUCUAGGUUUAACAAAAGAUAUUAUAUAAAUGUAUUUUUCUCAAGCCUAAAGAGGUAUGUGAUUCAAAAUACACGUUUUGAGGAAAAAAAACACACAAAAGAAGAAGCCAACUGUUUUGCAAGUAGUGAAACGGACGCCCACACGUCAAGUACUAAUCAACUUGAGUCAUAACUUAAAAGAUUAUUUGGUGAUAGAUCGUGAUCUAACAAACGUGGUGGUGACGGAUCGUGAUCUGAGAGCCUAGAUUAAUUUUGAUUGUUCAUCUUCUCAGAUUGUUAAGGUAUGAUUUUUUAAAUUACGAAUUCUUAUAUAUUAUAUGAGAUCGGUCUUAAAAGUUUUUAUGAGAAAAAAUGAUUUUUUUAUCCAACAGAUGCUACACAAAUAAAUAACAUAAAAAAAUGAUAAUCAUCUAGUCAGUGCAGGAGAAGAACACUACAUUUUUUCAACCAAAACUAAUAAAAAAAGACACAAACCGUCACCAAAUCCAAAAUAAUGUAUCAACUAUAUAUCUUCAAGGAGACAAAGUACGUACGAACCAAUUAUAAAGAUUGCUUCCGAGAAGGCUCUUCCUGUUAAAUUGAUGAGUUGUAUUAUUUUUCUCCCAUUUGUUAGAACAUAAAAUCUAAUGCAUUAAAUGACAAUAGAAUCACCGGUCCACUCAUUGCAUCUUGUGAAGUCAAUGUCCGUAUCAAACUUGAUGAUUCAAGGCCAGCUUCUCAUAGAGCAGAAAUAGUAAAAAUACAAGAACCAAUUUUCUAGUCAUUGACAUAUUUAAGUACAGAUUAUAAAUAAACUGCUAAGCCUUGCCCUUCUACUGAUGGAACAAGAAUUUGUAACUUGGUGAGAUCUCAGCUUUUCAGUAAUGAAAAUCUCAAGCUACCAAAAACAGUAGAUUUAAUCUACACUCUUAUGCACCGUUGCUAAAGAAAUUAGAAGGAGCGCUUUUCAAAUCUAUACAAAAUCACAACUGGAGAGUAACAUUGUAUUGUUGGCCAAAAGUUAUCAGGCAGCUACCUUACAGAAAAUUUGAGUCGGUUGACCAGCGAAAGGUGCGUUGUAAAUUGGUAGGCGGAUACAUAAUUUUGAUUUUAUGUUUGUAAUUAAAUUUUCAUGCUUAGAAUUUUGAUUUUAUGUCUAUUUUGAUUAAGUCCACAUGAUGAGGGAUAUUUUUCUUUUUCCUAAUUAAUAAAAAUACUUUCAAACUACAGAUGUUGGGGGAAAAAGUGUCCCAGCCGGACCAAAUUUCUAUCUGCCGUCCCAGCCUUUAAGUAAUAGCAAAUUUCACAGCAAAUCUUGACUGAAAACAAAAUAAAAAUAAUUUAAUUUCAAUGCAAAAAAAAAAAAAAAAGAUUAUGAUAUAGUCAGAAUUACACGUACAGGAGUAAAGUAUUAUAUCAUCUUUAAUUCCCGAUAUCCCCAAAUAGCUUCCUAUAAAUCUCAAAAUGCGGUAAAUUUCGACACAUACAUUACGGCUGUGUGCAGACAACCUCGGAACUGCUACCCCAAAUAAGAUUAAUUAUAUAAUUAAGUACAUUCAGGUACAUUGUACACGGGAUUCACUUAGAGGUAGCCUCUGCUCAUUAUUCUCAAUGGUGUACACAGUGGAUUUAUUUUUUAACACAAUGAUAAUCAUUUUUUUUUUAAAGGAAACGAUCAGCGUUUAAUUUUAAUAUAAUUUAAUAUCUUAGAAUGGUUAAUUGCAUCCAAUAACUUUUUGAUUGAAUUAGUCGACGCUUCUACCCUUAAUUCUAAGAUGGAGAGUUCGCAUUCCUCUAAUAAUUGUGAAAGUUUAUUGUAUUUGAUUUCUUAUGUAAAAUUUUAGUGGGCUUCAAUUAAAUGGAUUUUCAUUUAUUGUAUCAAGCUUUGAUAUAUUAGACUUUGAUUGUAUAAUUAUCUAUAUGGGGAUUUUAUUGUGUAGCAAAUAAUAUUCAAAAGAAAAAAAGUAUUUAACAAAUGGGUCAAAAGCCCUUGAAUAUAACUUUAUAAAAGUUAAAAUUGUAAAUAAAGAGGAUUUUAAAAGGGUGUCAAUAAUUCCACUCUUUUUUUUUUUUAAUUUUAAAAGGUAGGGGGUGGACAAGUUCAAAUACAGUUUUUACCCCCUUACCACCUUAAGAAUCGAACUUGAAUUUUGGUAGAAGUUACAGUUUCACUACAACCAACCCGACCACGCCCUCGAGGACAAAAAUUCCACUCUUAUAUAUACUAUUAGAAAAUUAAAGAAAAAUAGAGAAAUGCUUAGUUAAGAUCUUUAAGGUACUCUUCCUUUUACGGAAUAAACUUUAUUAAAGCGGCAUUAAUAAGUUUGGCAAUUUUCACCUAGUUUCAAUUUCUCUUUUCCGUUUCAACUCUUUUGAUCCUCCUAAUCUCCUUAUUAACUUUGAUUGAGUUUGACCAGUUCAUUGGGAUGAAAUUAUAUGAAGGAAAAAUGACACUUACACCCCUAAGGUUUGGGAAAAUGGUCACAAAAACCCCAAAUUUUUUAAUAAGGGACACUAAGGUCCCCUUUGACUAUAACACCAUUUGACUCUAUAAACCCAAAAAAAUUGACCCUAAAAUUUUAUAAUAAAUAUAAAUAUUACAUUAAAAUAAAUGUAAUAAUGUGUACAUUAUAAAAUAAUUUCAAUACUUUAUAUAAACUUAAUAUUUUAUAUUGGAGAUGAUUAAUUUUGUAUUCUGCUGUACGGCCAAGGCGGAUGUACGGUACAGCAGAAAUAAAUAUAAAAAUUUAAAAGUUUAGUAUUAUUUUAAAUGUUAAAAAUAAUUUAAUUUUAUUAGUCUACUAGAUGGAUUAUGUUAUUUAUAUUAAAGUUUUGUUAAUUUAAAAACUUUAUAGUAAAUUCUCAAGUUACUAUAUUCAAAUACUACUAUGGUCAAAAAGAGGUCUUCCUUUUUUUUAAAACUUGGGCAUCUUUGUAAUCAUUUUCUCAAAUCUUAGGGGUGUAAGUGUUAUUUUUUCUAAAAUGAAAAAUAACAUUAAAAUAUUAAUUUUUUUAUCAAGUGUGAGAUCUUCGAUUGAGAGCAUGUGAUAAAAUUAAUCAAGUUUCAAUUUUUUUUUCAAUUUUGAUGUACUUUGUAGAUACUAAUAAUUUGCUUUACAAAUAUUUUAUUAUUAAUUUUUUUUAUAAAUAAAUGAGUGUAAAGAAUAUUUUUUAUAAAUAAAUGAGUGUAAAAAUUAUUGUUAUAAUUUUUUCUUUUCAACGCAACAGCUGAAAGUAGCUUAGAACUUUAGUUAAAAAUGCCCAACCCAAGUCUGGGCCCCCAAUUACUACUAGAAAGCCCAAUCGUUCACCAAACUUUUCAUCAAAACAUCAACACUCGAGUUCAACGACAGAUUGAUUCCCGUUUUUUGCUCUUGUGGUCAAAUGGACGCGUCACAGAGCAACGACCGGAUUCCGAAUCCGAACCCGAGGGGUAAUAAUGGGAACUCGAUAACGUUGUCCACGCCGGUGUGGCCAACGAUCGACGGGCCGUUGGGUUUAACGGAAGACGAUUCAUUGAGCUACGCUCGCAAAUUCUAUCAGUUCGGUUUCGCACUGCUGCCGUUUCUUUGGGCUGUCAAUUGCUUCUACUUCUGGCCUGUUCUUCGCCACUCCGCCUCUUUCCCUCGUAUUCGCCACUGUAAGCUUUCCCAAUCGCUGUCGCUUCAUUUUGAUUUUAAGUUAUUUGCAUUGAAAUUUCGUUGUUGGGUAACAUUUUUUUUUAACCUACGCUGAGGUUUGGCUAAAUUAUAGAAAGGUUUUACUAGUUUUGAAAUUUUUCAUAUACGUCCUUGACAGUAUCUCAUUACAUUGUGAUGAAUCCUUUGGUCUAAUAGUAAAUUGAAAUCUUACAACCAAAUGUACUAUGUAUGUAACUGCUGUGCUUGUGCUUGUAUCCUCUGAUAUACAGGAUUAGCUUGUUGAGUCUUAAUAGUCUGGAUGGGUCUGUCCUCACUAUCAAAAGUAACUCCAUUGUUGUCUGUAACCGUUGGAGAAUUUGGGAGGUGGUUGAUUGGUAGAUUGGUUGAGUUAUAACAUCUUUGGCGAUGGUUUAUUUUUCAGAAGAAUAUAAUUUUUCAAAACAUACCAUUUCAUGUUUCAAUUUAUCAAGCCCGUAGACCUUAGACAGCUUGCUUGCUUACAAAAAUAGGAGGUUGGCAAGAGUUUAGUCCGAGUAUCCGUUCAUUUGAUUGUUGAUAGUAUAUAUGAUAUUGUGCUCUUAUUAAUACAUGAGCGAGACUAAUGAGUGGUUUGCUAUAGAAGUAGCACUCAAUACUUUGGUUAUUGGUGGUUUCUUGUUGCUUAGGCUCUUUAAGCUCUUCCAUUUUCAUGUAUGUUUGGGUGUUUGGGCCUAAUCGUAAUAGGUCAAUGACUCAAUGCUUACUUUAAGAGAAAAUACAGUUACUUGCUUUUUUAUGAUGCUAGCAUGAGAUUCUGUUUGCAUGCUGCCUCAACCACCACUCGCCAAGGACUUUGAUUUACGCGUCUCGUAUUUAGAUUACAAUAUAGUGUAAGCCAAGAGCGUUGUUGGGUAACAUUUUUUUUUAACCUACGCUGAGGUUUGGCUAAAUUAUAGAAAGGUUUUACUAGUUUUGAAAUUUUUCAUAUACGUCCUUGACAGUAUCUCAUUACAUUGUGAUGAAUCCUUUGGUCUAAUAGUAAAUUGAAAUCUUACAACCAAAUGUACUAUGUAUGUAACUGCUGUGCUUGUGCUUGUAUCCUCUGAUAUACAGGAUUAGCUUGUUGAGUCUUAAUAGUCUGGAUGGGUCUGUCCUCACUAUCAAAAGUAACUCCAUUGUUGUCUGUAACCGUUGGAGAAUUUGGGAGGUGGUUGAUUGGUAGAUUGGUUGAGUUAUAACAUCUUUGGCGAUGGUUUAUUUUUCAGAAGAAUAUAAUUUUUCAAAACAUACCAUUUCAUGUUUCAAUUUAUCAAGCCCGUAGACCUUAGACAGCUUGCUUGCUUACAAAAAUAGGAGGUUGGCAAGAGUUUAGUCCGAGUAUCCGUUCAUUUGAUUGUUGAUAGUAUAUAUGAUAUUGUGCUCUUAUUAAUACAUGAGCGAGACUAAUGAGUGGUUUGCUAUAGAAGUAGCACUCAAUACUUUGGUUAUUGGUGGUUUCUUGUUGCUUAGGCUCUUUAAGCUCUUCCAUUUUCAUGUAUGUUUGGGUGUUUGGGCCUAAUCGUAAUAGGUCAAUGACUCAAUGCUUACUUUAAGAGAAAAUACAGUUACUUGCUUUUUUAUGAUGCUAGCAUGAGAUUCUGUUUGCAUGCUGCCUCAACCACCACUCGCCAAGGACUUUGAUUUACGCGUCUCGUAUUUAGAUUACAAUAUAGUGUAAGCCAAGAGCGUAGCAGUUUUUCUGUAAUUAGUUUGUUGUAUUGAUUACAGAAAGGCACCCUUUCAGGAGAUGAAGUUGGGUGCAUCUGCAUUUUCGACAUGGAAGGCUACUUGUUGGCAUUAUUAUAUCACAUAUUAUAUAUUUUACACAUCUUCUCUCCCACGCUGUUCGUUUUGAUAACUGUAAGAUAUAUUCUUUUGUAGAUGUUCUUGGAUCAGCAGUUGGGUUUGCAGUCUUCACGGUUGUUUUACUCUCAUGGGCAUUGACAUUUGCCAUUGGAGGGGAGCACCUCUUCGGCUCUGUUUGGGAUAAACUAGUAAUGUAUAAUGUUGCUGAGAGAUUAGGCUUGACAGGUUGGAGCUAGUCAUAAACUAUUUCCAAGCUUAUGAGUCUUAAAACUCAUUUCCCUUGUCAUUGUAUAUAGUCUGUUUUUGAAACUUGAAACAACAUACAUUCAUGUUGGAGGUAAUGUUGAAGCCAUUUUUCUCAAUUAGUAAAAGAACCUUUCCUGUUGAAUCAAGUGGCAGAUUCAUGCUUUUAUCUGAAAAAUAAUGUAUCGUGGCAUGUAUUUUUUUUUUAUAAAAAAAAAAAUAAACAUGAGAACUCCUGAACCUUUCUUUCAUAUGUAUUAACUUCGUUCGAUAAAAAUUUGAGUAUUUUGAAUUUUGAAUUUUGAAAUUAGAAAUGGUUGCUUUAUUCUCAUCUGAUACGCUGCAAAAAUGCCUUGAAAAUGGGCAAUGUUAUGUGACCAAGCCAGUGACUCGCAAUAUGAAAAAACGCAGGCAUGAUCUGCUUCAAAUGAGUGUGUGUGCGUGUUUUAAGAAUCAAUAGAUGAAGUCUGGUCGGUUUUAAUCCGUUUUAUUGCUGUAAACAAAUUCACUCAAACGUUCGAUCAACUCAACUGAGCCAACCAUGCCUAACAAAAUAGGCCUUUUUUGUUUUUAUUUUUUAUUUUUUAUUUUUUUGGAAGGUAAAUAUGCCUUAUUGAAAAUAAAAAUAAAUUCGAAUUUUAUUUUCUCAAAUACCUAUAGUUUAAUUUACAGAAUAGAAACACAUAUAUAAAAAUGAAGCAUCUUCCCAUAAAUUUUUUUAUCCUAAAAAAUGUGUAUUUUUAAAAUUUUAUUUAUAAAAUACAUACAAAUCCUAAAAUUUUUAAUUAUUUUCUUCUUAUCUAUUUUCAUUACUUUAAACUACUAUAAUUUUCUCAAAAAAAUAUUUUUAUUUAAGUUUUUAAUUGAAAUUUCAUUUAAAAAUAAAAAUGAAUUAAAUAUUACAUUUGAUUGUUUAGGUAAUUUCAGUUAAAAGGGAAUUUAAUAAUUUAGAGAUGGCAAAGUAAUUCAGACCCAGCCUGAACUUGGAUAAACUCAAAUGAUCCUUGCUGGGUUCAACCCGUACUGCAUUUAAAUAAUAUGUCAAUCCGGUAUUAUUUUUUUGAACCUAGACACAUUCGGGUUCGGCUCCGGAUUCAGCUAAACCCGGACCUGCAUAUAUUUAUUUUUCAUAUAAAUAUAAGAAAUAAAAAUUUAAUGGAAAAAGAAUAAAUAAACCCUAAUUUACACUUUUGGCUUUUAGCUCAACACAGCCGCGACAUUUCUUCUCCUUUUCAUUUGCCAAAUUCAUCAAUUUAAAUCAUCAUCAUCAUCAAAUCGUCAUCAAUCAUCAUCAUCAUCAUCAAAAUUGUCAUCAAUCAUCAUCAAAGGCUUGAAUUCUCAGUAACUCUUGAACUCAUUCACGGUCACGGCCGGCGGAAGACGAUCACACACACGAAGUGAGGAAUUGGGAUUCAUGGACAUAGACGAAACAAUGACUAGUGGUACAAAUUCACUGGAUUUUCGUUCUCCAUCGCUAUUUGUGUUCUAUUUUGAUAUUAAUUUAGCUUUUGCUUCAUGAUGACAAGCUGACAAUCACAAAAUUUGAGUUUUGUUUUGCAGUUUUGCUUCAUUGUUUUGUUAUAUUCUUUAAUCAAAUUCUUCAAUGUGAUUUAAAUAUUACUCUUAUGUUGUGUUUACUUGUUGGAGUGGGAGUGAGAAGUGUGAAUUCCUCCCACUCCAACGUUUACUUACUUAAAAUGGGGAGGGAUUGGGAGUCCUAUUCCGUGGGCUCCACUCAUUUUUAGAGUGGGGAGUGAGAGUGGGACUCCCAUUGGGAGAGGUGGGAGUGGGAUUCCCACUCCCACCUCUCCCAUUUCUACCUUUUUUUUUAUUUUAUGUUUUAUAAUUAAUAAAAUAAAAUAAAUAAUAUUAUAUUUAUUUAAAUAAUAAUAUUAUAUUUAACUAAAUAAUAAUUUACAUUGAUUCUAAGUUAAAAUUAUUUUAAAAUAAUAUUAUUAUAUUAAUAGAGAAUUAAUAAAUAUAAUAUUAUUAUAUUUAUUUUAAAAAUAAUAGUACUAUAUUUAUUUAAUAAUAAUAAUAAAUACUUUAUUCUAAGAAAAUAUUAAUUUUGUACUAAAUAAUAUUAUAUUAUUAUUUUAUAUAAUAAUAAAUUUAAUAUAAUUAUAUUAAAUAAAAUAAAAUAACAUUUCAUUUUAUAUUAAAAUUACAAUUAAUAAUUUAUUGUUCAUAAUUAAGAAUAUUAAUAAUUAUAAUAAAUUUCUGCUGUACGGCCAAGGCGGAUGUACGGUACAGCAGCAGUAAAAGUUAAAAUGUAAGUAGUAAAUAUAGCUUCUAAUUUGGAAAUUUAAUAAAUUAAGUCCUUCAUUUUAAUUUUUAGUUUCAAUUUAAUGAACAUUAUGAACGAAUAAAAUUUGAAUUUUGCUCAUAUACAAUGGCUAAGAAGUCACAGGGAAAACAUAAUCCUUCCGGACCGAGGAUGGAAUCAAGUACAAUGAACGUACCUGCAUCCCAAACAUAUCCGCUACCGUAUCAAAAGUGCUUCAUAAUUUAUAAAUGUGAUGCAAGCUAUCAAAAGAAGGUUGAUGAAAUGACAAUUAAAAUUAUUCCAGAAAGACAUAUUCAAGAUUCAGGCAUUUCUUCUUCAACUUCGGAGGGAAUAUCAACAUAUGGUUCUGUAUGAGAGGUUUGGCCUUGAUCAGGUUGAGCCAUCAGGAUUUUGGUAAUAUCAGCAUAGGACUUUUCAGAGUCACUGGUGGAUGCUGAAGAUUCUGUGUCAGUCUCAGUAUGGCUGUCAGAAACAGCUAGAUUGGAAUCAGAAGUGUGGUCAUCCGUGGUAGAAGAGUGGGCGACUGUGUGAGCAGUAAAUUGGUUCAAGGGUUCUUUAUCUUUUGAUUGGGUAGGGACUGAUAAAGGAGCUGGUGGUGAUGUCGGUGUAAAAGUAGGAGAUGGUUGGCCAGGGAUGGUCAGAGAGGAAGGAUGAAGAGGGGGAGGUCGAGGCUGCGGUCUAGGUUUGGGUUUAGGUUUAGGUGGCGGUGGCAAAGGAUUGUCUCUGAAAAGAGUAUGAGUCAUGCCAAAUAACUUGGAAGGGUCAUAUUGUUUAAUAGGAGAGAGCAUAGAGGCAAAAGGAUGGUAAGUUGGACCGAUAGAAGGAAUAAGAGGUGAACUGGUGAAAAGGGUAGGUCUCUGUUUUUCUGCUGUACGGCCAAGGCGGAUGUACGGUACAGCAGAAAAGAAUAAAUAAACCCUAAUUUACACUUUUGGCUUUUAGCUCAACACAGCCGCGACAUUUCUUCUCCUUUUCAUUUGCCAAAUUCAUCAAUUUAAAUCAUCAUCAUCAUCAAAUCGUCAUCAAUCAUCAUCAUCAUCAUCAAAAUUGUCAUCAAUCAUCAUCAAAGGCUUGAAUUCUCAGUAACUCUUGAACUCAUUCACGGUCACGGCCGGCGGAAGACGAUCACACACACGAAGUGAGGAAUUGGGAUUCAUGGACAUAGACGAAACAAUGACUAGUGGUACAAAUUCCUGCUGUACGGCCAAGGCGGAUGUACGGUACAGCAGGGAACGGGUUACAUAAGGCAGAUAUUGUAUAAUUGUUCGGUUUUCCGCAAUUUUUUCCAUCCCUCUGUGUAAAUAACCCAAUAUUGGUUUUUUGUUGGGGCAAUCUUUGGCAUAGUGGCCUUUUCUCUUGCAGAUGAAACAUCUGCUUGAUUGCUUUCGUUUGAAUUCUCUGGAGGAGGAAGAUUUCUUUCUGAAGAACCGGUAGGGCUUUCGGGAUCUGCGAGGUUUGGAUGAAAAUUCUGGAGUUUUGAAUUUCCGAAAAUGCCGUUUUUUCUUUGAACUGCAAUCGCAAUCCUUUUUCUUGUGGCAUUUGAUCUGUAAAUAAGGCUUUUUGCAAGCACUGCGGAAAGGUUCUUUGUCUUUCAAACAGCAGUUGAAAAACUGUUUUUGCUCGCAAAGUUUGUCAAGGCAGGUUUUGGCAAGCUGGAAGAUUUUGCCAAGGGAGAUGUUGUCUAGGGAAAGAUAUGAUGCUGUAAGUUGUCUCUGGAUGUCAGGUUGGAGUUCUUCGGGGAGGGACUGCUGUACCGUACAUCCGCCUUGCGGCUCAUUGAAUCCAUUAAGCUUAUAGAACAGCAGGGACAUUCGCUUAUAAUGGAAGUCAAGAUCCUUAGCAUUGAGGGAGCAGCAUUUCAUGUUGAGGUAGUCUCGUCUGGCAGCUUCAAAGACUGCAGAAGGGUCUCCAAGGAAUUGAUCAUGAAGUACAGCAAGAGCACUUGAAACUUCUGGAAGGUCAACAAACUGUAACUGGCGAUAUUGUCCUAACGAAUCAAACCAAUCUCUUAGAGCACCCGUAAAACGAGUAGCAAAUUCUCUAAGGACGGAUUGAGUUGUUGCUCCUGUUCUUAGCAUCUGCAGGUCAAUCCAGGCAGACAUUUCAUUGAGUCGGUCACGCCAUUUAUGAGAUGGAAGAUCAUCAAAUGUGAACCAUGGACCAUUUGACGAUUUGUGACUGGGUGGAUUGGGCUGGGCUGGAGAAGGUUGGUUUGUGGCAGAAGAUUCAGGCAUUUCGUCUUCAACUUCGGAGGGAAUAUCAACAUAUGGUUCUGUAUGAGAGGUUUGGCCUUGAUCAGGUUGAGCCAUCAGGAUUUUAAUGAAAAAAAUUAUUAAUUUCAAGUGGAGUGCUGCAAAAAAAAAUUAUAUAUUUUUAAAAAAUGAAUAAAAAUGGUGGAUGAUGGAUAAUUUUUCUUCCUUUUGUUCAACUCUUCGGUUGACCAAAAAGUAGCGUCACCAGUUUCCAUGUUUGGGGCAAAGUUAUUUAGAAUCAAUAUUCUCCACGUUAUGCGAGGAAACAACAUCCUGAUCGUUUCUAAUAAAGGGACACGACAAGACUCCCGACAUUGGAGUUACCAUCCUUUAACUUUAGUGCUUUCCCUACUACUCUGGUUCUUUUCUUCCCUAGCCACCACCAUCCAAGGACUAAAUUGUGGAGCUUUUAUAGUCAUCUCCAGUUGGACCUUUCAUCACCGUUGUAUCCCCAUCAUCACCCUUUCCCUCCUUAUCAACAUUCAUGACCACUUUGGCCCAUAGAUUCUAAUACCAAUACAAUGAGUUUGUUUAAGUUGAUCUCCAAGGCAAUUCUCACAAACUUCCCUUUUGAAGCUAAUUCAGUAUUAUAAUUUAUUUUGAGCACAUUUCUUAUGACUUGACCAAGGAAUCUGAGAAUUCUCUUAUGAUAGUAAUGGAGAAGCAUUCCCAGAAGUCAGAAGACAAGCAACAAUAUAGUCGAUUUUUCCAUUCGAGCUAUCGAAUUGAGGUGACCAAACUUGAACGGUACAAAAUCUUCCAGGGCCCUUGAGUUAAAGCAAAUUGCGCGUCGUUAUGAUGAGGCUGGAGAGCCAUGUAAGAUAACAAGGGUGACAAAACCAAAUUCCAAGUAUCAAGGAUGAGGUCUAGACAUGUGACAUGGGCAUGCAGGAUGUGAAAGUCAUGCAUGCAAGGGAGUAAGAACUGAAGCAAUAUUCAUAGUUAUCGACUUAAAGUAGACGUUGGAGGAUUCAUAGCUUGUUUAGUUGCUGUAUUUAAAUUAUCUUGUGCUACUUGUUUUGUUGAACGAGUUAAUAGCUAGGUAGUUGCAUUUGUUUUGUAUUAUGUUAUUUGCUUAGUGGACGUACUAUGAGCCUCUAUUUUCGGUUGUAUAUCAGAGUAGUGGGUUGUGAUUAAAUGUAUAAAUAUGCUCUCGAGUUCAAUAAUAAGUCGGUCAGCAAAUUAUCUAAAUAUUAUCUUGUGGUUUAUUCUCAUCCAAAGAGAAUCAUACGCAUUGUAUAAGUGUAGUUCUGACUGGGACCUAUCAAUUGGUAUCAGAGUUGUGUUAUCUUGUUCAAAAACUUUGUUGUUCUCAUGACAACUAACAAAGAAAGGAUUGAAAAUUUAGAAGCGAGGCUUAGCGAACUUCAAGAUCAAAUGCAACAAAUGGAGAUUGGCAUUAAUGACAAACUACAUUAGCUCGAGGAGACCAUCAAUCGUAUGUCUGAGGCUUUCUUUUCAAACAAAGAAAGGUCCAGCCAUAACGUCAAUAAUCACCCUAGCCAUUCUUACAAGGAGAAUACUAAGGAGGAAGCUGGUGGAAGCCGUAUGAUUUUCUCAUAAAAAAUGGCUAAGCUUGAAUUUCCAAGGUACACUGGAGAUGAUCCUACGAAGUGGUUUAACAAAGUUUCCCAAUUUUUUGAAUACCAGGGAACAAAGGAGGCACAAAAGGUUGCAUUGGCAUCUUUUUCACCUUGAAGGUGAAGCCAACCAAUGGUGGUAAUAGCUGCACAAAGCCUAUAAAGAGGAGGGAAGAACGGUGACAUGGAGAGAUUUUGAAGAAGAAUUGUGGGCACAUUUCGGACCUACUAAUUGUGAAGAUUUUGAUGAAGCUCUGUCCAGGGUGAGAUAGGUAGGCACCUUACGUGAUUAUCAACCGGAGUUUGAGAGAUUAGGCAAUCGAGUUCAUGGUUGGACACAAAAAGCUUUAGUUGGAACUUUCAUGGGAGGUCUUAAUCCCGAGAUAUCUGAUGACAUUAGGAUGUUCAAGCCAAAGACUUUGAAAGAAGCAAUCAGUUUGGCACGUAUGCAAGAAGACCAAGUCCAACGCAAGUUUUCUCAACCACUCCUAGUUAGUGGAACACCAACAGCAUUGCAUGUCCAUGCACAGUCUCCAUCAACCUCUAAUGUCAAACACUUGACGUGGGAUGAGAUGCAAAGACGUCAUGCCCAAGGGCUUUGUUUUAACUGCCCUGAGAAGUUUAGUGUAGGUCACAAAUGUAUUGGCCCUCAAAUAUUGUUGCUUGAAGGAAGUACUGAAGCGAGAGAUAUUAUGUAUGAAGAAACUGAAAUUGUUGCGGAUGUUACCCCAACAGACCGUGCCAAACCAAAAAAUUCAUUCCAUUCCUUAUCGAAUCAUAGAGAAACCAAUGAAUCUAUUUUAAAAUAUAGACCUUGAGGACAAGAGUCCACUUCGAGGGGAGGGUAUUGAUGAGGCUGGAGAGCCAUGUAAGAUAACAAGGGUAACAAAACCAAAUUCCAAGUAUCAAGGAUGAGGUCUAGACGUGUGAUAUGGGCAUGCAGGACAUGAAAGUCAUGCAUGCAAGGGAGUAACAACCGGAGCAAUAUUCAUAGUUAUCGACUUAAAGUAGACGUUGGAGGAUUAAUAGCUUGUUUAGUUGCUGUAUUUAAAUUAUCUUGUACUACUUGUUUUGUUGAACGGGUUAAUAGCUAGGUAGUUGCAUUUGUUUUGUAUUAUGUUAUUUGCUUAGUGGACGUACUAUAAGCCUCUAUUUUCGGCUGUACAUCAAAGUAGUGGGCUGUGAUUAAAUGUAUAAAUGCGCUCUCGAGUUCAAUAAUAAAUCAGUCAGCAAAUUAUCUAAAUACUAUCUUGUGGUUUAUUCUCGCCCAAAGAGAAUCAUACGCAUUGUAUAAGUGUAGUUCUGACUGGGACCUAUCACGUCAACUGUUCUAAACUUGACUAGAAAUAAUCAUUUUCCAGAUCUAUGACCGUAAAGGAGUCUUGCCCAAAGAGAGUCUAGGCAGUUGCAUAAAACUUUGUAACCAAUCUGCCUCCCUAGGAGAUUAACAACAACAGUAGAUUACCAAGGUUUAAUAAGCCGUGCAAGAACCUCGUGGGAGAAUGAGAUAGAUGGCAAAGUUCCAUCCAUUUCCAUGACAACAUCACCACUGUCAAAAUCCAAAUCGUCGUCCUUACCAACGAAAUCCUCUUCCACGAACAAAUGGUCCUCCAUUAAUUUAUCUUUGAUGGACAUUUGCUGUGGGUUGUCACCAUCGUCUCCUUCUGAGUGGAAUUUGGUCUUUUUUGUGGAACCGUCAUCCUCCAAGGGUGGGGGCAAAAUCUUUGCAAGUUAAGAGGAAAUCAUUUUUUCCCGUAUUGGUUGAGCCUUAACUCAACAUGAAAUGCUGCUCCCUCAAUGCUAAGGAUCUUGACUUCCAUUAUAAGCGAAUGUCCCUGCUGUUCUAUAAGCUUAAUGGAUUCAAUGAGCCGACAUUAAAGCAUGUCUUUCUGGCUUCCCUCCCCGAAGAACUCCAACCUGACAUCCAGAGACAACUUACAGCAUCCAAUCUUUCCCUAGACAACAUCUCCCUUGGCAAAAUCUUCCAGCUUGCCAAAACCUGCCUGCUGUACGGCCAAGGCGGAUGUACGGCUACUUGAAUGGUUCUCCCCCAUCCCAUGGUGGAGAAAGAAACUGCAACAACUGUCCGAAAUUUACAACCUUGACCGUAUGCCUGCCCCUGAAGCACAAAUGUUCACAUCAGUUUUUAUUAUUCACAGGCCAUACUUCCAACAUCCAGACACCCAUCUCUUUUGGACUCAAGAUCAGGUAUAUGAAUGGUUCACUGCACCACAUAUAGCUGUGAUUGAAAAUGACAUACAAGACGUCCUGCACAAUUACCUUUGCCAAUUAAACCACCAACCUCCGCCACUUAAAGAUAUCUCUCACACCUCCUUAGUGUGAUACCACCAACCUUAUCUGGUUUAUUGAAAGCAACCUCUGAUACCAGUUAUGGUGAAGUAGAUGAGAACGAUGAGAACAUCAUACAAGCCAGUGGUGGUGUGGGAUUUGAGAUUGGUGAUGGAAUCUCAGAUUUGCAAUGCUUUGCAAUCCAUGUGAGUUCUUUUCGGUAGAUGGGUAAUGGAGCCGGUGGAGGUGGAGGAUCUGAUGGUGGCUUAGGGUCAUAGUGGUGACAUGGGACAGGAGGUUUUUUCUUUUUGGGUUUCUUUUUCCUUGUGGUUGCGUAAUCAUCGUCUUCUUCCCAAUCAUCCCAGCAGGGACAAUUUGGGUCACACAUGCCGGAACCAGGGGCAUCCCAUAGGAAAUGGCCAUUGUGCUUGGCUGGAUAAACAGGGUAGCCUUGAGAAUUAAACCCUGUAAUGGGCAGAUCUUCCUGCGCUGUCUGAACAGCUGUGAUCAUUGAAGAAUAGGUAAAGGAGAGCCUAGGAGGCUCUUGUGGAGCACUGGGAGGUGGUUUAAAAGUCAUUCUGACUGUUCCAUCUUGUCGUCUUUCAAACAUGCUUUCAGAGGUCUGAAUUGGAGCUGUAUUGUUAUGGAACUGUUCAUAGUUGGAGAUCCAUUCAAGAGGCAUAAGCUUGAUGAGCUCAUGACGGGGAAUUUGUCGGGGAAUCUGGAUGAUUGUCGGGAUCUGGUCAGAUUCUGCUAACACCAUGAGGGUGUCAGAGUGGUGUUCUGGAGCGGGUAGAUCUAAGGCAUGAUUUUGAAGCCUGUAGACCAGUUGGUGAAUCAAACCAAUCUCUUAGAGCACCCGUAAAACGAGUAGCAAAUUCUCUAAGGACUGAUUGAGUUGUUGCUCCUGUUCUUAGCAUCUGCAGGUCAAUCCAGGCAGACAUUUCAUUGAGUCGGUCACGCCAUUUAUGAGAUGGAAGAUCAUCAAAUGUGAACCAUGGACCAUUUGACGAUUUUUGACUGGGUGGAUUGGGCUGGGCUGGAGAAGGUUGGUUUGUGGCAGAAGAUUCAGGCAUUUCUUCUUCAACUUCGGAGGGAAUAUCAACAUAUGGUUCUGUAUGAGAGGUUUGGCCUUGAUCAGGUUGAGCCAUCAGGAUUUUGGUAAUAUCAGCAUAGGACUUUUCAGAGUCACUGGUGGAUGCUGAAGAUUCUGAGUCGGUUUCGGUAUGGCUAUCUGAAACAGCUAGAUUUGAAUCAGAAGUUUGAUCGUCAGUAGAUGAAUGGAUGACUGCGUGAGCAGUAAAUUGGUUCAUGGGUUCUUUAUCUUUUGAUUGGGCAGGGACUGAUAAAGGAGCUGGUGGUGAUGUCGGUGUAAAAGUAGGAGAUGGUUGGCCAGGGAUGGUCAGAGAGGAAGGAUGAAGAGGGGGAGGUCGAGGCUGUGGUCUAGGUUUGGGUUUAGGUUUAGGUGGCGGUGGCAAAGGAUUGUCUCUGAAAAGAGUAUGAGUCAUGCCAAAUAACUUGGAAGGGUCAUAUUGUUUAAUAGGAGAGAGCAUAGAGGCAAAAGGAUGGUAAGUUGGACCGAUAGAAGGAAUAAGAGGUGAACUGGUGAAAAGGGUAGGUCUCUGUUUUUCAGAUUCAAUCUGAGCAAGUUCAGCUUUUAAUCGCCUGAUUUCCCUUUCUUUUUGGUCAAAUUCGGGACCAUUGUAUCUGUGGGCUAGCAUGGCUCGUAACUCUGAAUCGAGUUGGCCAAUUCUGGACUGGAGAUUUUGGUGGAUCUGCUGCAUCUGUGCAGAGAUGGAGUCAACCUUUGUCUCAAGCUGUUCAGUUCGUAAACUGAUUUUCUCAACUUUGGAAUUGAUAUUGACCAAAGUAUCAUUCUGUGCUCUAGCAUUUUGGGUUUGCCAGUUGAGGACUGAUUCAAAAGGUUUGGGAGGUUCUAGGUGGCCAGAUGAGGUAAUUGGUGAAGGGACAAAGGGUUUGGACACAACAUUUCGUUGAGAAUCUGUAUGGGGUUCCAAAGGAGGAAAGGAAGAAGAGUAAUCUGAAGAAGUAGAGGAAAACAUCAUACAAGCCAGUGGUUGGACGAUAGGUGUUGGGUGUGAGAGUGGUGAUGGAAUCGCAGAUUUGCAAUGUUUGGCAAUCCAUGUGAGUUCUUUUCGGUAGAUGGGUAAUGGAGCCGGUGGAGGUGGAGGAUCUGAUGGUGGUUUAGGGUCACAGUGGUGACAUGGGACAGGAGGUUUUUUCUUUUUGGGUUUCUUUUUCCUUGUGGUUGCGUAAUCAUCGUCUUCUUCCCAAUCAUCCCAGCAGGGACAAUUUGGGUCACACAUGCCGGAACCAGGGGCAUCCCAUAGGAAAUGGCCAUUGUGUUUGGCUGGAUAAACAGGGUAGCCUUGAGAAUUAAACCCUGUAAUGGGCAGAUCUUCCUGCGCUGUCUGAACAGCUGUGAUCAUUGAAGAAUAGGUAAAGGAGAGCCUAGGAGGCUCUUGUGGAGCACUGGGAGGUGGUUUAAAAGUCAUUCUGACUGUUCCAUCAUGUCGUCUUUCAAACAUGCCUUCAGAGGUCUGAAUUGGAGCUGUAUUGUUGUGGAACUGUUCAUAGUUGGAGAUCCAUUCAAGAGGCAUAAGCUUGAUGAGCUCAUGACGGGGAAUUUGUCGGGGAAUCUGGAUGAUUGUCGGGAUCUGGUCAGAUUCUGCUAACACCAUGAGGGUGUCAGAGUGGUGUUCUGGAGCGGGUAGAUCUAAGGCAUGAUUUUGAAGCCUGUAGACCAGUUGGUGAUGUAAAGUGGCAAUUUUUGCAGAAGAAAUUUGUUCAGCACCUUGAAUCUGAACUUGGACUUUCAAGGUUGUGGGCAAAUUGGGGUCUUGGAGAGAAAGAUUGAAAUUGGGAUAGAAAGUGAGUAAAACACUUCCUGCAUGAAGGGUUGUGAGGACAGUCUGCUGUACCGUACAUCCGCCUUGGCCGUACAGCAGAGCACUUGAAACUUCUGGAAGGUCAACAAACUGUAACUGGCGAUAUUGUCCUAACGAAUCAAACCAAUCUCUUAGAGCACCCGUAAAACGAGUAGCAAAUUCUCUAAGGACUGAUUGAGUUGUUGCUCCUGUUCUUAGCAUCUGCAGGUCAAUCCAGGCAGACAUUUCAUUGAGUCGGUCACGCCAUUUAUGAGAUGGAAGAUCAUCAAAUGUGAACCAUGGACCAUUUGACGAUUUUUGACUGGGUGGAUUGGGCUGGGCUGGAGAAGGUUGGUUUGUGGCAGAAGAUUCAGGCAUUUCUUCUUCAACUUCGGAGGGAAUAUCAACAUAUGGUUCUGUAUGAGAGGUUUGGCCUUGAUCAGGUUGAGCCAUCAGGAUUUUGGUAAUAUCAGCAUAGGACUUUUCAGAGUCACUGGUGGAUGCUGAAGAUUCUGAGUCGGUUUCGGUAUGGCUAUCUGAAACAGCUAGAUUUGAAUCAGAAGUUUGAUCGUCAGUAGAUGAAUGGAUGACUGCGUGAGCAGUAAAUUGGUUCAUGGGUUCUUUAUCUUUUGAUUGGGCAGGGACUGAUAAAGGAGCUGGUGGUGAGGUCGGUGUAAAAGUAGGAGAUGGUUGGCCAGGGAUGGUCAGAGAGGAAGGAUGAAGAGGGGGAGGUCGAGGCUGUGGUCUAGGUUUGGGUUUAGGUUUAGGUGGCGGUGGCAAAGGAUUGUCUCUGAAAAGAGUAUGAGUCAUGCCAAAUAACUUGGAAGGGUCAUAUUGUUUAAUAGGAGAGAGCAUAGAGGCAAAAGGAUGGUAAGUUGGACCGAUAGAAGGAAUAAGAGGUGAACUGGUGAAAAGGGUAGGUCUCUGUUUUUCAGAUUCAAUCUGAGCAAGUUCAGCUUUUAAUCGCCUGAUUUCCCUUUCCUUUUGGUCAAAUUCGGGACCAUUGUAUCUGUGGGCUAGCAUGGCUCGUAACUCUGAAUCGAGUUGGCCAAUUCUGGACUGGAGAUUUUGGUGGAUCUGCUGCAUCUGUGCAGAGAUGGAGUCAACCUUUGUCUCAAGCUGUUCAGUUCGUAAACUGAUUUUCUCAACUUUGGAAUUGAUAUUGACCAAAGUAUCAUUCUGUGCUCUAGCAUUUUGGGUUUGCCAGUUGAGGACUGAUUCAAAAGGUUUGGGAGGUUCUAGGUGGCCAGAUGAGGUAAUUGGUGAAGGGACAAAGGGUUUGGACACAACAUUUCGUUGAGAAUCUGUGUGGGUGUCUAAAGAAGGAAAAGAGGAAGAAUAGUCGGAUGAAGUAAGUGAGAACAUCAUACAAGCCAGUGGUGGUGUGGGAUUUGAGAUUGGUGAUGGAAUCUCAGAUUUGCAAUGCUUUGCAAUCCAUGUGAGUUCUUUUCGGUAGAUGGGUAAUGGAGCCGGUGGAGGUGGAGGAUCUGAUGGUGGCUUAGGGUCAUAGUGGUGACAUGGGACAGGAGGUUUUUUCUUUUUGGGUUUCUUUUUCCUUGUGGUUGCGUAAUCAUCGUCUUCUUCCCAAUCAUCCCAGCAGGGACAAUUUGGGUCACACAUGCCGGAACCAGGGGCAUCCCAUAGGAAAUGGCCAUUGUGNNNNNNNNNNNNNNNNNNNNNNNNNNNNNNNNNNNNNNNNNNNNNNNNNNNNNNNNNNNNNNNNNNNNNNNNNNNNNNNNNNNNNNNNNNNNNNNNNNNNNNNNNNNNNNNNNNNNNNNNNNNNNNNNNNNNNNNNNNNNNNNNNNNNNNNNNNNNNNNNNNNNNNNNNNNNNNNNNNNNNNNNNNNNNNNNNNNNNNNNNNNNNNNNNNNNNNNNNNNNNNNNNNNNNNNNNNNNNNNNNNNNNNNNNNNNNNNNNNNNNNNNNNNNNNNNNNNNNNNNNNNNNNNNNNNNNNNNNNNNNNNNNNNNNNNNNNNNNNNNNNNNNNNNNNNNNNNNNNNNNNNNNNNNNNNNNNNNNNNNNNNNNNNNNNNNNNNNNNNNNNNNNNNNNNNNNNNNNNNNNNNNNNNNNNNNNNNNNNNNNNNNNNNNNNNNNNNNNNNNNNNNNNNNNNNNNNNNNNNNNNNNNNNNNNNNNNNNNNNNNNNNNNNNNNNNNNNNNNNNNNNNNNNNNNNNNNNNNNNNNNNNNNNNNNNNNNNNNNNNNNNNNNNNNNNNNNNNNNNNNNNNNNNNNNNNNNNNNNNNNNNNNNNNNNNNNNNNNNNNNNNNNNNNNNNNNNNNNNNNNNNNNNNNNNNNNNNNNNNNNNNNNNNNNNNNNNNNNNNNNNNNNNNNNNNNNNNNNNNNNNNNNNNNNNNNNNNNNNNNNNNNNNNNNNNNNNNNNNNNNNNNNNNNNNNNNNNNNNNNNNNNNNNNNNNNNNNNNNNNNNNNNNNNNNNNNNNNNNNNNNNNNNNNNNNNNNNNNNNNNNNNNNNNNNNNNNNNNNNNNNNNNNNNNNNNNNNNNNNNNNNNNNNNNNNNNNNNNNNNNNNNNNNNNNNNNNNNNNNNNNNNNNNNNNNNNNNNNNNNNNNNNNNNNNNNNNNNNNNNNNNNNNNNNNNNNNNNNNNNNNNNNNNNNNNNNNNNNNNNNNNNNNNNNNNNNNNNNNNNNNNNNNNNNNNNNNNNNNNNNNNNNNNNNNNNNNNNNNNNNNNNNNNNNNNNNNNNNNNNNNNNNNNNNNNNNNNNNNNNNNNNNNNNNNNNNNNNNNNNNNNNNNNNNNNNNNNNNNNNNNNNNNNNNNNNNNNNNNNNNNNNNNNNNNNNNNNNNNNNNNNNNNNNNNNNNNNNNNNNNNNNNNNNNNNNNNNNNNNNNNNNNNNNNNNNNNNNNNNNNNNNNNNNNNNNNNNNNNNNNNNNNNNNNNNNNNNNNNNNNNNNNNNNNNNNNNNNNNNNNNNNNNNNNNNNNNNNNNNNNNNNNNNNNNNNNNNNNNNNNNNNNNNNNNNNNNNNNNNNNNNNNNNNNNNNNNNNNNNNNNNNNNNNNNNNNNNNNNNNNNNNNNNNNNNNNNNNNNNNNNNNNNNNNNNNNNNNNNNNNNNNNNNNNNNNNNNNNNNNNNNNNNNNNNNNNNNNNNNNNNNNNNNNNNNNNNNNNNNNNNNNNNNNNNNNNNNNNNNNNNNNNNNNNNNNNNNNNNNNNNNNNNNNNNNNNNNNNNNNNNNNNNNNNNNNNNNNNNNNNNNNNNNNNNNNNNNNNNNNNNNNNNNNNNNNNNNNNNNNNNNNNNNNNNNNNNNNNNNNNNNNNNNNNNNNNNNNNNNNNNNNNNNNNNNNNNNNNNNNNNNNNNNNNNNNNNNNNNNNNNNNNNNNNNNNNNNNNNNNNNNNNNNNNNNNNNNNNNNNNNNNNNNNNNNNNNNNNNNNNNNNNNNNNNNNNNNNNNNNNNNNNNNNNNNNNNNNNNNNNNNNNNNNNNNNNNNNNNNAGUGGUGACAUGGGACAGGAGGUUUUUUCUUUUUGGGUUUCUUUUUCCUUGUGGUUGCGUAAUCAUCGUCUUCUUCCCAAUCAUCCCAGCAGGGACAAUUUGGGUCACACAUGCCGGAACCAGGGGCAUCCCAUAGGAAAUGGCCAUUGUGUUUGGCUGGAUAAACAGGGUAGCCUUGAGAAUUAAACCCUGUAAUGGGCAGAUCUUCCUGCGCUGUCUGAACAGCUGUGAUCAUUGAAGAAUAGGUAAAGGAGAGCCUAGGAGGCUCUUGUGGAGCACUGGGAGGUGGUUUAAAAGUCAUUCUGACUGUUCCAUCAUGUCGUCUUUCAAACAUGCCUUCAGAGGUCUGAAUUGGAGCUGUAUUGUUGUGGAACUGUUCAUAGUUGGAGAUCCAUUCAAGAGGCAUAAGCUUGAUGAGCUCAUGACGGGGAAUUUGUCGGGGAAUCUGGAUGAUUGUCGGGAUCUGGUCAGAUUCUGCUAACACCAUGAGGGUGUCAGAGUGGUGUUCUGGAGCGGGUAGAUCUAAGGCAUGAUUUUGAAGCCUGUAGACCAGUUGGUGAUGUAAAGUGGCAAUUUUUGCAGAAGAAAUUUGUUCAGCACCUUGAAUCUGAACUUGGACUUUCAAGGUUGUGGGCAAAUUGGGGUCUUGGAGAGAAAGAUUGAAAUUGGGAUAGAAAGUGAGUAAAACACUUCCUGCAUGAAGGGUUGUGAGGACAGUACCGAUAACAGCAUCUUGGUACUGUUUAAACCGGGUAUCAAGCAUAGCAAGUCGAGCGGUAACCGGUAAUCCUUUUCUCCCAUGAAGGGUAAGGAUUAAUCUGAUGCCGCCAAGAUGGAGAUGAGUAUAACCUUCUCGUUUCCAGUUGGAGAGCAACUCGGAGGGAAUCUCCAGAGUGACAUAUUGCUCAGCAGAGGUGGCUUGAAGAGCACACUGAUCCAGGCGGGAAGACUGGAUGUAUUCUUUAGGGUGAGGGCGUCUGGUAGAGAUAAGGGUGCGGAUACUGCGGGUAAAGGAGCUAGGUCGUUUAUACAACUGAUAAGGGCUGAGGAGAGGGUAAGAAGAUUCACUGAUUUGGGCGGAUUCAGGGAUGUAGGAGUAUUCUACAAGAUUUUCAAUUUUAUUAGUAGUAUGAGAAGUGCAAGAUUUCGGUAAAGAAAGAGUGGAAGAAAGAGUAACAGGAGGUGAAGAGGAAGUGGAUGCCAUGAAGGAGAAGUUCUCUCUGCGCCUGAAGUUCUAGAGAUCAAAAUAGAAAAAGCCUUAAAUUAUACCAUUUUGGGCAAGAAAUCGUGAAUUUAGAAAACAUGAAAUUUUCAAGGAUGGGUAUGGCUCUGAUACCAGUUAUGGUGAAGUACGUGGCGUUGUUAUACCAGAACUACAACAGUUAAAACUGUUCUUUGGACCAGUAGUCCGCAAGAUCGGGUUUCCAGCCGAUAUACCUCUGUAAUAAAAAACCUUUAAAACAUUUUUCUCAGGUUAUACAACCCAAAACAGACUUUCCUUAUCUCUAAAACAGGGUACCAAACCAGAUAAGAAAUGAUCAAAAGUUUUCUGAUGCACAGGAUCCUUAGAAAAGGCAAGUGCAGGUACAGCAGAACAUGAAAUUUUCAAGGAUGGGUAUGGCUCUGAUACCAGUUAUGGUGAAGUACGUGGCGUUGUUAUACCAGAACUACAACAGUUAAGAACGUUCUUUGGACCAGUAGUCCGCAAGCUCGGGUUUCCAGCCGAUAUACCUCUGUAAUCAAAAACCUUUAAAACAUUUUUCUCAGGUUAUACAACCCAAAACAGACUUUCCUUUAGUCUAAAACAGGGUACCAAACCAGAUAAGAAAUGAUCAAAAGUUUUCUGAUGCACAGGAUCCUUAGAAAAGGCAAGUGCAGAGCAUACUUCCUUAGGUUUUCAAAAUGAACAAAUUUAAUUCUUUAUUCUUUUUCUUUCUUAGGACUUCAUUUGCAGAGAGAGAGAAGAGUUUUAGGGAUGGAAGUUUGUAAGAAAUUUUAUAAUUAAAAAUUAUAAUUCUUUAAAUAAGGAUAAAAUUGUAAUUAGAAACUAUUUACUCCCAAUCUAAGAUAAAGUAAACACAUAAAUUGGAUUCUGAUCUCCAUUCCAUGCUUCCAUUCCAGUGUAAGUAAACAACCUAUUCCCACUCCACACUCCCAAUCUUAGGAUUCCCACUCUCAAAGAUUCCCAAUCCAAUUCAAAAAGUAAACGCUACCUUAUUUUCAUGUUGAAGCAAUCGGUGAUGGAAAAAAGUUGCAAGUUGAACACUGACAGUGCCCUUAGUGCCCUACCUCUGUUUUUCCAUUUGGAAACAAGCCUUAAAGUGGUGCUCAUCCGGGUUCAAAAUCCGGGUUUCAGAAACCCGAAUUUUUCGGAUUGAACUUGGACAAACCUGGACACGGACACGGACCCGGAUUUUGCGGAUAAGGAAUUUUGAGGGUUGUACUACAAAAAAAGUUGCACGACAUGGGGCUUAUGGAAAUUGGGCUUCAAUUCUGACCCAACAAAGGCCUAAUUUUUUUGAAUGGGCAACCUGGACUUCACUAUUUAUGUCAAAAAAGAAAUGCAUGCCAAUUCAAAAUUAGAAUUUUUAGGGCAAAGGAAAAUUUAUCAUCAAACUGAAAACAGAGACAGGUUAGAACUAGUGUGAUAGCUGAAAAACAUUAGAGGCCAAGUCCCCUUAUAUGUUACGCGGCUACAGGCAUGCGUGAUGCCUCUACUCUCACCGCUACUCUAAUCUUUAUUUAUUUUUGUUUUUAUUUCUUUUUUUAUUUUGUUUAUCUGGGCUCAUAUUGCCCAACUUAUGCUUUAGAAUUUCAGUUUAUUGAAUUGUAAGUUUGUAAAAUAUUAUAUUUUUCCAUUAAUUUAGAAUGAGUUAUAUAUUUAUCUCUAUUGGGUUUAUUGAAUACGGUUAUAUAUUUAUCUCUAUUGGGUUUAAUGUGUAAGUUGCAUAUAUUAACAUGAUAAUGGGGAAUGGACUUGACUCUUUAAGUGUCUGAACUUGAGGUUUGCUUCUUGUGGUUGUUUGUAAUGACCUUUUAAUGAAACUCCCAAAAUUGGUCUGGCCUUGUAUUUUUUGGUUCUCAGAUAAUAAAUUAGCAUGAAUAUUUACCAUACAUACCUAUCUCUAUUUGCCCGUUGAGGUUGGUAUUUGGACUAUGAGUGUAAAUUGGACCAACCCUUGUGCUGUUUCCGCAAAGGUUAAGUAGGGUUAAAGAAAUGCAUUAAUAAUUUCGAGGACGUUACAGGUGUGGUUUGUUAAUAUGAUUCUGGUCGGUUUGGUUAUUCCUUUCUCUUUUUGUAACAUGAGCUAAUUACUUGAUGAACUUUGUUUUUCUUUUCUAUAAAUAUUUCUGGAAAUGAAAAUUUUUUGGAGGAAAAUGAAUGUCUUUAUAGUUGGUUAGUACCCUGAUUAAGUGUGAGUUGAUAUAGUUGUGUAUACCACAUCUGUGUGGUGUGGUAUAUUAAAAUAGAUUGUCUUUUGAUUUUUUGGUUUGUGUGUGAAAAUUUGCAGAUAUGAAUCUAAAUGUAAAGCUGGUUCUAUAAUACAUUAACAAGAGGAGAUAGAGGAGAUGGAUAUAGUUGAAUCCUUAUUUGAUAUUCAAGUGCAAGAUCCGCCAGAGGAGGAUUUCUCUUCUAUUGAUUUGACAUGGACCAAGUUUGGCACGGCUGAGCACCAUGACGAAGUAGCACUAAUUCCUUAUGCACGAGUUGAUUCGUUUAUUAUUGGAGAGUGCUCUAAUGUAGAGUGCCCAACAAGGUUUCAUAUUGAGAGGGGAAGGAAAAGAUCAAGGGGAAGCUUGAAAGAGUAUAAGGACGAUGAAUAUUUGGAAUACAGGCUGUAAGUAUCGUAUUUGUAAAACGCACCGGUUACAUUCCUAUAUUUAAAGAAUACCAUAUUUCAAUGCUGGAAGAUGCAUAAAUUUUUUUCUCCCCCUCUCUAUUUUCUGGGAUUCGUAACUGUUCCAGUAGACAUACCAUAAAUUGAGAAGUUUGAAGUGUUAGCAUCUUUGCUCUGUAUGUCACUUCAAAGUAGGUGGCAUGACAACUUGGUAGAAACUUUGAUUUUUGUUCACCAUUUCUUGUUCAUUUUUUCCACCAAAACAUCUGAAUGUGGCCUUCAUUUUUAGUUAAGAGAUUAUCGACCAUAUAUAUGGUGUCAAUUUUCACUGCUUUUGAGACUAAGAGUAUAACUGGAAUUUAGCAGCUUAUAAUGGAUGAAAACACAUUUAAUUUAACCUUGCAUUGUAACUCUCAUUUUUUGUUGAAAAUAGACCAUGUGAGUACCUAAAAGUAGAUGGAUGUUAGUACACAUGCUCAACAAUUAUUAAUCCCUCAAUUUAAUAUUUUCUGACAUUUUUGUAUUGGUGUUCAUUUGGUCCUGAAAAUUAGUACACACGCUCAACAAGUUUUAAUCCCUUGAUAUUUUUGUAUUAUCUUUUAGGUAUUGGUGCUCUUUUGGUCCUGAAAAUUAUGGGGAAGGUGGUGGUGUGUUACCUAGUCGAAAAUAUCGACUAAAUACCCGAAAUCGUGCUGCCCGACCUCAGUCCAUGCGGGGCUGUACGUGCCAUUUUGUAGUGAAGAGGCUGUAUGCUCGUCCAUCACUAGCACUCCUUAUUUAUAAUGACAGGCGUCAUGUCAACAAGUCAGGUUUUAUCUGCCAUGGGCCCCUUGACAGAGAUGCUAUUGGCCCUGGAGCCAAGAAAAUUCCAUAUAUUUGUAAUGAAAUUCAACAGCAAACUAUGUCUAUGAUCUAUCUUGGCAUUCCUGAAGAGAGUGUGUUAGAGAAACACAUUGAGGGAAUUCAAAGAUAUUGUGGUUCUGAUGCAAAAGUCAAUAGCCUUGCUUCUCAGUAUGUCCAAAAGCUUGGGAUGAUUAUUAGGAGGUCUACCCAUGAGUUGGAUCUAGAUGAUCAAGCUAGCAUACGAUUGUGGGUUGAUCGCAAUAAGAAAUCCAUAUUCUUUUAUCAGGAUUCAUCGGAAACUGAUCCUUUCAUUCUUGGGAUUCAAACAGAAUGGCAGUUGCAACAGAUGAUCCGUUUUGGCCAUCGCAGUCUCAUUGCGGCUGAUUCAACAUUUGGCAUAAAGCGACUUAAGGUAUGCAAUUUCUUACGUGGAUAUAUGGUUAGCUUCAGAAGAAUUUAGGUGGAUGUUUAGUCCAUGUUCUGUCUAAUUUUGCAGUAUCCUUUGUGCACACUUCUCGUUUUCGAUUCAAGACAACACGCACUGCCAGUCGCAUGGGUUGUCACACGUAGCUCUGCGAAGCCUGAUGUGACUAAGUGGAUGAAAUCUCUGCUUGAUCGAGGUCGGAGCAUUGAACCUGGAUGGAAAAUCAGCGGGUUUCUGAUUGAUGAUGCAGCAGCAGAGAUUGAUCCCAUAAGGUAAGUCUUUUGCCAUGGAUUUCAUUAUGAAUUGAGAUUGUGCAAUUUUCCAUGCUCAUGCUUGGUUUCACUUCUGUUUUAGGGAAAUAUUUUGUUGUCCUGUCCUGUUUUCCCUAUGGCGUGUUCGUAGAUCAUGGCUGAGAAAUAUUGUUAAAAAAUGCACCAAUAUCAAAAUUCAGCGGGAAAUUUUCAAGCGUCUAGGAAAUAUAUUGUAUAGCAUAUGGGAUGGAGCUGAUCCUUUUGUUAACUUGGAAGUAUUAAUUCAGGAUUUUGUUGAUCAAACUGCCUUUAUAGAAUAUUUCAAGGCCUCCUGGAUGCCUAAGCUUGGUUAGAUCUCUCUCUCUCUCUCUCUCUCUCUCUCUCUCUCUCUUCCACACACACACUCACUCACAGAUAUAAACAGCUGUCUCACAUGGGUAUAUGCUUUCUCAUCUUGUUGAAAUCGUCUUAUACUUUACUAUUUUUAAUAGAAAAUAUUGCUAUGUUUAUCUUUUGAACAGCGAUGUGGCUGUCAACUAUGAGAGCUCUUCCACUUGCAAGUCAGGAGGCAUCUGGUGCCAUAGAGGCCUAUCAUGUGAAGCUGAAAACCAAAUUGUUCGAUGAUUCACAUCUUGGUGCACUCCAGAGAGUUGACUGGUUAGUACACAAGUUGACAACUGAGUUGCAUUCUAGCUACUGGCUUGAUCGAUAUGCAGAUGAAAGUGAUUCUUUCCAAAAUGUUAAGGAUGAAUAUAUUGCAUCUACAUCAUGGCAUCGCGCAAUGCAAAUUCCCAAUUCUGCUGUUACCUUGGAUGAUAAAGAGCAUCUCUUUGCCAGGGUCUCAAGCCAGAAAGACAGCAGUCUGACACAUCUAGUGUGGAAUCCUGGAUCAGAAUUUGCUUUUUGUGAUUGUGCAUGGUCAAUGCAAGGAAAUAUUUGCAAGCAUGUCGUCAAAGUCAAUAUGAUAUGUGGAAACAAUGAAGGAUAUCAGCCUUCCAUGUCUUUUCAGUCACUUAGAGAGGUACUGAUGAACUUGUGGAGAAAACCGAUGGAUGACUCAGUUGAGCUAGAUCUGUCGGUUGCCUGGACCCACAACAUGCUUGAUCAAAUUAAACAACUUGUUGAAUUGAGCAGUUCAGAUGAUAUAGGUGCGGUGGUUAAUAAUCUGCCUUUGAAAUGGGUUUCCAAGAAAGGCAGGACAUCUGUUGGUAUACCAUCAUCAACUCUGGCUCUUCCUUCGAGUUCUAAGAGCUCCACUGUACAUAAAAAGAACCGAAAACGAAAAAGAUUAUCAAGAUUAAGAUGAUUGCGUAGCUGGAAGCUAAAGAACUGCUUCAUAGAUAACUUUGACAUCUGAUAAUUGGAUUUUGCUGAUAGCAUUAUUUGAUUUUGGCUCCAGCUUAGACCAGCUUAACUCGUUUCCUGGUAGAGCUUUAAUCUCUCAAUUUUUUGUUUUCUUGAUUAGAAUAUACCAGACAACCACCAAAGAUAUAUAUUGAUAAAUGAUAUGGUUUCUUAAUGGUUUGAAAAAUGUAAAGAUGCUAUUGAAGAAAUUGAAGACGCAUCUAGGAAUAUGCUUUCUUGCAUAUUCAUCUUUGGGCAAGUUCCUGUGUAGAGGCAUCAUCGAAAAGGUAGCAAUCGAGAUCUCCUCCACACUUUUAGAUGGCUUUUACGAGCAUUUAACUUUUCUUGUGCUCCCGUUCCCUGUGUUUAUUUCUUUUGGCUAUUCUUUCUUUCUCAUCUGGAAAGCUCACAAAUAGGAGUAUGGGCAGAAUUCAUCUUAUAAUUGAUCAUUAUAUGAUUAUCAUUUUGGAAAGGAUUUGCGUACAGGAUGUAUAUAAACAUUUGAGAUGAUAAUAGAAUAAUUUUUCAUACAUGCAGACCAUUGUUCAGUGGAAUUUCUUCUAAUGUAUUUGAAACAUGUUAAAGUGUUAUGGUCCAUGUUCCAUCAAAGGCAUUGGAGAGGUAGGGUUUGAAAUUUUUAUAAACAGAUAUUUUUUUGUGUCAUUAGGUUAAUGUAGCUCAUGUACUAAACAGAUAAUACAGUAUAUUGUAUACUGUUUUUCAUGUUGAGGUCAUCGUGAUAGGGUUUGAAUCCUUGAUCCCUCUAAGUGGAUCGAUCAUGUACCAAUUGCUUGAAGCCAUUUUUAUAUGUUUCCUGUAAUGUGACUUGAAAUCAACCCGUUAACCCAAAUUAUCACUUUUUUUUCUUUUUCUUUUUCUUUUUUUGUUGGGCCAUUUUGGUCAAUUACAAGAGUUAAGUUUUCUCAUGUUGUUUUUAUGGGUUAAUUUUGGGUUAUCCCCAUAAAUUAUUGUAAAUUUUAAUUUAUCCUUCAUUUUUAAUUUUUUACUAGGAAGAUAAAAGAAUUUUCAUUAGUGGCAGCUUUGGAAGGUAUUUUAACAAUUGUCAUUUUAUGAGCGUAAAAUCCAAAAUUAAGUGCUUUUAUACCUCAGGCCUCAGCAAUGGCAUGCCAUAAUACUGUUUGAGUAAUAAAAGAGCAAAUUUAAUAUCAAGUUGAUAAGAAAUUUAAUUUGUGGUUUCGUUUCCAUGCGCGGGUGAAUAAAACUGGAUAAGCUCUUAGGAUGCAAUAAUAACAAAUAAUAUGAAUAAUGCGCUUUUUGAGAUAAAUACUGUAAGUAAAUUGAUGAAUGAAAUCAGUGUUUGGACGACUAGGCCUAAUAACUCUUCAAUCUUUAUAUUUUAAAAAAUAUCUCAACACAGUCUUAGCGUUAAAUAUGUUACAACUUUAUUAUUACUUUUUUCUUUCUUUUUACAAUAACAUCAUUGCAAUAAUCUUCCUACCUUCUUGAGAAUAUUAAAAAAAAAGAAAAUAAUAUUAAUUUAUCAAAUUAGCAUUAAAAUAACAUAAAAAUUUAUGGAAAUUUUUAUGUUAUUAUUUUACUUGGAGGAUUAAUUUUGGUAAAAUUAUUUUUUAUAUAAUAACUAUUAGUAAAAUUGUUUCAAGGAUAUUAAACAUUACUUUAAGUUAGUACAUAAAUUAUUAGCAAGAUUGUCAUACGAGUAUAAAAAAUAGUAGUUCUCUCAUAUUGAUAUUUAUUGGUUAAUUUGCUAACUAAAAUUUUUGUAGAUAAAUUAAUUACGGCCAAGAAUAUUAUUGUAAAAGAAAAGAAAAAGAAAAGAUAAGAACGUAACUUAUUUAAUUAUAAAGAUAUUUUGAGGUAUUUUUUAAAAUAUAAAGAUUAAAUAGAGUGAAAAUAUAGAGAAUAAAUACAAAUUGUUGAAUGAAAUUUUAUGUUGUUGAAUGAAAAUUUUUCUUGAACCACGUAUAAGUUAAUCAUGUUGUGCCAAGGGACUUGUAUAAAAAUAAUUUACAGAAGAAUUUGUAGGUAGUAUUACACUAAACAUAUAACAAAAAUGUUGAGGUGAGAUUACUGUAAUCCGUAUUCAGUUUCUGCCCUUCUGGCAAGAAGAUACUGAAGACAAACUCUGAUUCGAAAGUGGGCCAGAAUUUGACGCUCACCACAAGACUUCCAAGUGCACAAAGUGGCAUUGAAGUGCAAAGUUUACCAAUAGGAGUGAGGCAAUCUCACCUUAUCCACACUCCCACCACAAUCUUCUAUCACAAUUCAUCAUCAAAUCUCCAUCAUUUAUCCACAACUCACAAACACAAAAGCAAAUUAAGCCACCAUUUUGUUCUCAACUUCGUGAACUUUGUAAAACAAAAAAAAAAAUUUGCGCUGCAGCAGGAGCGAUGGCAGCCAUGAACUCUAGUGUACUCGCAUGCAACUAUGCCAUUUCAGGCAGUGCUGGAUCAUCUGAGCUCAAUGCAAAGAUUGUUUCGGUUUCAACCCCGGCUGUGCAUGGCCACAAAAUGCCU